AAAGAAUAAAAGAAGACAAAAGAACUCUACAUAACCCCCAAUAUUGAAAUAUCAACAACCAAUACAAUUCAUCCAUUUUAAAAGAGGAGACCAAACGCAAGAGCGACAAGGGAAGCAAAUGCCGUCGGCACGAAUGCGGUGGCAUCUGAGGUAGGAGUAGGGGCCGGUGCAUCAGCUGCCGCAACAUAUUGGACCGCUGAGAUGGCCAUCAACACCACCAUCAUAGCCAAAAAUAGUCUUAUCCUCAAUGCCUCCAUUUGUUGGUGUAGUCUCUUGGUGGAUUUUGUUGCAAAAGUGAGGAAUAUGAAUUGGAGACAAGCAGUAAUGGGGGUGCCAUAAAGCCCCAUUUAUAUACAUCUCGUGCUGGCCAGUUUUCAAUUAGUGUCGAAAAAAUAAAGUUUCCAUUUAACUUUUAAUUUAGUUAUUAUUGGUUUGGGCUGCCCGUUAGUUGGGACAGGGUGGCUUUAAGUUCAACUUUAGAUGCCAUACAGCUGUUGCCAACGGUCUUUUUGGGCGUUGCUUGGAGAGGGUCCCUUGUCUUUACCCACUUGCCUUAUCUACCACUUUUUUCGGGGGCAGUGUGGGCUGUUCAAUUCUGAUUUUACAAAAUUUUGGACUACUAUUUUGACCCUAUGAGCAGGCGUGUUCUGUGGUUUGAGUUCAACUUCUUUUAUGGCAAUCUUGGUAUUUGAUGUCCUUAAUUAAUUAGAGAUUUGUUCAUCGGAAAUAUAGGGCUGUUGGGACCCUUUCUCUUUUUUUGGGUUCAAUAUGUUGGGAACCCUUUCAUUCACCGUUAUCAUGCCUUUGCAUAUCAUAUUUCAUUAUUUUUAUCUUCAGUUAAAAUUAAUUUGUUUUUCAAUUAUUAUUGUUUGUGUAAUUAUUUUAUUUAUAACAAUGAUUAAUAUUUGUAUUUGAAUAUUUUAUAUCUAAAAAUAUUAUACAUAUUUAUUGUUGUUUCAUGAACAUGUUGAAUUAUAUGUUCAUAAACAUGUGUUUUUAAUACUUACGAACAAACAAAUAUGAACACACUGGAAAAGGUAAAAGUGGACUUCUUCCCUAAACAUUUGAACCAAUUUCGAAAUUUGGAGUCAUCGUGGUUGAGAGACUUUUACUUGAAUACCAGUCUUGGCCCCACCAAAAUUGUUGACACCAUUUUUUUUGGAUAAAAACGGGGUCGACUUGGGUUUUGAAAAAAAUGAAACAGGAGUCGCCACCAAUCCUUUUUAUAAGGUGUGAUUGGAUCACCUCGAAAAGCGGUCGUUUUUAAUAAACGGUUUGAUUUUAUUAAAACAACAAGUUUGGUCCGCAAAAUUCAGAAAACGGGUUCGGAGUCGGUUACGCACGAGGAAGGAUUAGCACCCUCGAUACGCCCAAAAUUGGUACCUUAGUGGAUUACUUAAUGUCUUAAUGUCGAAAAUUGAAAACUUAGAAGAAUUAAAAAAUACGAUCCUUGUAUUAAAACGUUGAAAAUUUUCAGGAAAAUGGGCAUAUUUCACAUUAUUCGAGAAAGAGAAUCAUAUCCAGUAAGUUAGAAUGCAAUGUCUCAAAUUCCCAAUACGUGAAUGAAUGCCAGAAUUUUACUUAUUUAAAAGAUAUUUUAUUAUCUCGGGUUUAGGAAAGGGAUCAUGCCCAGUAAGUUAGGACACGAUCUUUUCUUAAUUCCCGAGAUCGUUUCAAAAUUUGAGUUUGAAAAGAUUAGUGUAUUUAGAUUUAUUGUGGAAAUCGAAACCCAGUAAGUUAGGGUACGAUCCUCUCGAAUCUAAACACAAAAUAUCAUUUUUUAAACAAAUUUUAUUAUCGAGUGAAAUAAAAACAUGAAGUCGUAGUAAAAAUGUGAAAGCAAAUUACAUUGUUAUACAUGACAAAAUCAUAAUGAAUACAAAAGUGUAAAAAUGAUACGAGCGAUAGCAACAAUAUAAAAUAAAUAAAAGUCAAACCUACAAUCAUAUAAAAUAACAAUAUAUAUAUAUAAACAAAUAAAUUAAACAUUCGUUCAAAAUAAUAAUGAAAAUGAAAUAAAUAAAUAGUGAAUACAAUUAAAAUUUAAAGGGAUAUAUAUAUAUUUAUAUGUAUAGACAAAAAAUAAAAUAUGUGUGUAUUCAUAAAUUACAAUAUAUAUAUAGAGUAUACUUUAAAAUAUAAAAAAAAUAUGCAUAUAGAUAAAAAUAUGUACACAUAUAUAUAGGUGUAUAAAAUUAUGGAAUAUGAAAAUAAUGAAAUGCAUAUAUAAAGUAGGCGCAUGAAAAUAUGUAUGUACAAAUUAAAGUUUAAAAAUAAUGAAAAUAUACCUACGUAUACAAAUAAAUACGUUAAUUUAUAUAUAUAUGUUUAAAGUAUAUUGAAAACAUGUAUGUAUAUGUCUAUGCAAAUUAAGAUAUACAAAAACAUAUAAAUACAUACAUAUAAAUAUAUAUACUUAUAAAAAUAAAAAUAUGUAUAUGUAUAUAGAUAUAUAUAAAAAAGAAAUAUGAGUAUACGUAUAUAUAUUAAACAAAUUAUAUGUAAAAUAUGUACAUGUAUAUAUACAAGCACUUAUAUGAUAAUAAUAAGGCAUAUAUAUAUAUUUAAAAAUACAUAAGUAUAUAUGAAUAGAGAUAUAAAAGUAACAACAAUAAUACCAAUACUAAUAAUAGUAAAGAUGAUAAUAAUAAUAAUAAUAAUAAUAAUAAUAAUAAUAAUAAAGUUAACAAAAAUUGACUAAAUAAUAAAAUAUGCUAAAAAAGGGCCUUAAAUCGAAAUGAAAUAAAACAUAUAGGGCCAAUUCGAAAUAAAGGAAAACGAAAGGGAUCCAAUUGCGACGCGCGUAAAAAAGGGAAGGACCGAAACAGAAAAUAAACCCAAAAUCCCAAAACGCAGCACCUCAAUGGACUAAAAUAAAACAAAAGUAAAAUAUUAGGGCUAAAUCAAAAUAAAAUAAAACAACAAAAUAGGACCAAAUUGAAACACACCGCGAAUCAGAGGGACUGCGCGCAUAAAUUGCCCAAAAAACUAAAACACGCGGAUCCUACGGGUCGGGUCGGGUCGACGCGCGGAUCCCCCUUUGCUAAAACGGCGCCGUUUUGUGUUUAAUAUAAAUAUAAAAAAAAAGCUAAAAACAACACUGCUUCAUCAUUUUAUUGAAAAAAAAGAGAGAAAACUCUCUCUUUUUCAUUUUUCUCAGGCUCCGAUUCCGGAGAUGGCUCGGCCAAGGCUUCCGGCGAGUCUCCGCCGUAGAGCCACCGCGUGUGGCGGCCGGAGGUCCAAAAUCGGACCUUUUCGGUCCCUUUUUGAAGCCUAGCGUCCCUAGGGUACGGAUCUAGGGCCAAAUCCCCGAAAAAAGAGCCGGAGACCCGAAGAUCGAGGGGAAACCGCUCGUCUUCUCCUCUCCGGUGCGGCGCAGGUAAGGUUCUUUUGGUUUUUCGUUUGUUAUUUAGUGUAGAAGAUAAAAAAUAAACAAUAAAGAGAGAAGAGAUUUAGACACUAAAAAGGUCACCUUUUUUUAUCUCUUUGUUUUUUUUCUUUUCAAAAGGGCUCCGAACCCCCCCUUACAACUGAUUUUGCUUGGCUUUUUAUAGCCAUUUUACAUGAGUUCUUUAUCUAUUUUUGUCUCUGCUUUGCGUGUUUGGUUUCAUCUUGCAGGGAGUCAGAGGAGUUGGUGGAGCAGGUGAGGCCGUGCGUCGGUGGUCAGAGGAACGGCGGCAGUAGUCAGGACCGAUUAGGUUUUCUUUCUUUCUCUAUUUUUUGUUUAUUUUGGGCUGGUAGAAAUGGGUUUGGGUUAAUUGGGCCUUAAGCCCGGGCUAAAAUUGGUCUGUACAGCUGCCCCUCUUUGCUCGUUGUCGUGUAACGAAAACAGAGCAAAGACUAAGAAAGACCAAUUUUUGCCCGGUCUCGCUGAGUCUUGACUUCUCUAACGCCUCACUUCAAGGAGCUUUAUUUCAAUCCACUGUGGCUUGUCGUGUCGAUCCAUUCCACUACACUUCAGAAAGAUACGACUUGUAGCUUCAAUCCACUUUGCCGCGACUUUAGGGGGUGAGAUUCGUUGCUUUAGUCUGCUCCGCUGCAAUAUCAGGAAGAUAAGACUAGCUGCGAUCUGCUCUACUGCAACUUUAGAGAGGUAAGAUCUGAAAUCUUCAAUCUAUUCCAUUGUUAACCAGGGAGAUAGAAUUAUCGGCUUCAAUGUACUCCACUGUAGUCACAAGGAGGUAAAAUUUGCCAUUACUUGAUCUACUUCACUACUGUUUAGGAAGGCAAGAUCUGAAAUCUUCAAUCUAUUCCACUGCCAACUAGGGAGAUAGAAUUAUCGACUUCAAUGUACUCCACUGUAGUCACAGGGAGGUAGAAUCUGUCAUCUAUGAUCUUCAAUCUAUUCCACUGCCAACCAGGGAGAUAGAAUUAUCGGCUUCAAUGUACUCCACUGUAGUCACAGGGAGGUAAAAUCUGCCAUCUAUGAUCUUCAAUCUAUUCCACUGCCAACUAGGGAGAUAGAAUUAUCGACUUCAAUGUACUCCACUGUAGUCACAGGGAGGUAAAUCCUGAUGCGAUCUACUCUACUGUAACUUCAGAGUAAUGAGAUCCUUUAUUUUAAUCCGCUCCACUGUAACUUCAGAGAGAUAGGAUUACUAGCUUCAAUCUACUCCGCUGUAAUCUCAGGGAGAUAAGAUCUCUGGCUUUAAUAUGUUCCACUGUAACCGAGAGAGGCAAGAUUUGUGUCUCCGAUCUGCUUCGCUGUCAAGGCAAGAAGGCAAGAUCUGUUAUCUUCAACCAGCUUUACUACAACCGAGAGAGGCAAGGUUUGUGUCUUCAAUCUGCUUCGCUGUCAACGUAGGAAGGCAAUAUCUGUUAUCUUUAGUUUGCUCCGCUGUCAUUACAGGAAGACAAAAUCUUUUGUCUUCAACCAGCUCCAUCACCACCGAGAGGCAAGGUUUGUGUCUUGGACCUGCUUCGCUAUCAAUAUAGGAAGGCAAGAUCUUUUGUCUUCAACCAGCUCCAUCACAACCGAGAGAGGAAAUGUUUGUGUCUUCGAUCUGCUUCGCUGUCAAUGCAGGAAGGCAAGAUCUAUUGUCUUCAACCAGCUCCAUCACAACCGAGAGAGGAAAGGUUUGUGUUUUCGACCUGCUUCGCUGUCAAUACAGGAAGGCAAGAUCUUUUGUCUUCAACCAGCUCCACCACCGAGAGAGGCAAGGUUUUGUUUUCGAUCUGCUUCGCUGUUAACGCGGGAAGGCAAGAUCUGCUGUCUUCACUGAUCUGUUCUCUAGGGAACAUGACCUGUAUAAUGAACCUAAUUAUGCCUAAUGAUUAGGAUGGCAUGAUCAAAAUGAAUCCAAUACUCCUAACUAGAUGUCAUGAAGAUGAUUCCUUAAUGCUUAGGUUAACAUCACGUAAAAACUUAUUAAGGUUUUAUCACUGACGUACUACAACGCCUUUUUGCUCGUCUGGUAUAUCCAAAGAAACACUUAAUCUGGUUGCCUCCCACUGUAAACCUUAAAGUUUAAUCUAUUAGGGCACAAAAUUUGUACCAUCAUUCUCCCACUACAAUCCAAGGGUAGAAAUAUGGUUUUUCCUCAAUCUUCUUUUAUCACAAUUCAAGGAUAUAGGAUCUUAAUCUUUCUGGUCCCCCUUACACCAUUUCCAGGGUGUCGUUUCAAAGACUCAUGCACAAAUGAAGGCUCUCUUCUCCGAGGUAACCUCUUCCUAUUGCCUAGUGAUCAUUGCUUGCUUGUUUAUUUAAGCUUUUUCAUUGACACGACAUCUUGUCAUUUUGUUCAAUCACUGCAUUUGUCAACAAAAUCCAAAGAGAAAGUCCAAACUUAGACUCUUCCUUCUCAAAUUUCCAACCUUCCAAUUUGGCAUGUUCUAAACAAUAGUCCUGUUUCAGGUUCCUGUAUUAUUUAGAAACUUUUCAGAGUAAUAUGCAAAACUUCCUUUGUGAAAGUUUUAUUAGUCCAUUAAUCAUUAUUCCAAUGCUUGCAAAAAGGUCAUAACAAUGGAUAAGAAUAAAGUUGGUUCUGAGCAUAGCUCGAAAGAACAAAUUAUCGAAAAUAGUGAAGAAGGACAACAAAAGAAUUAAUUGGGAAUGUAUAUCUUGGAAAGAAAGAAAAAGUAUUCCAAGAACAACAAAUAACAUGAGAAUUGGGUGCCCCAGAUAUCACAGCUUGAACUUCUCUAUACAAACUUUCUGAAGACCCUUUUGAGUUGGACAUGUGUUUAGGAGAUCUACAAUGCUCUGUCGAUGCCCCCAAGAUGUCGCCUAUCCUUUCCUGUUGAUUCAGGCAUGGCAAGAUCAACACAUGCCUCAAUAUGAACAAAACUUGAGCAGCUUAUAUCACCUCAUGCCCCAUUUUGAUCAGUAUUUGAGCCGCCUCUUUCGGGUUUUCAACUCAAAUCCCCUUUGGCCUAAGGUGCCCUUUGCGGGUUUUCCCCUUAGCCUCUCCAUUUUUACUUUUUCAUUUUUCAUUUUUUCAUCUUCUUCUUCUUCUUCUUUUUUUUUUUUUUUUUUUUGAAUCAAAGUGCCCUUUUGCAGGUUUUCACCUUGGUCCUUCCUUCUUCGAAGUGUUUCUGGAUCUGAGUUUAUAGGAUUAGCAAUCUCACUCAGGAUCAGUGCUCUUCUAGAAAUGGUCUUCUUUACAACAUAGGGACUUUCCUAGUUUGGCAUUCAUUUCCCUUUAGAAUCCUUUCGUUAAGGAAGAAUCUUUUUCAACAUCCAGCCCUCUUGUGGAAUUCUCUGAGACGAGCAUGUUUAUUAUGGGCUCAUAUUAUUUAUUUAUGGUACAUCUGACCCUGAUGAAUAGCUUUUAACCCUUUUCCUAGGGCCAACUGAUCACAUUGCGAUUGGAUCCCUUCAACAAGCAACGAGGGGAUUUUAAUAGGUAGAACUACCUCAAUCCUGUAAACCAAAAAGAGAAGUGUUGCCCCAAUACCGAUGUUCGACAAACAAUGAGGGUAAAUGGUAAUUUCUCACAUCGAUCCUCGUAAGUCUCAGUCAUUUUCCUUCAAUUUUUGAUGUUCAACUCUAGGAGCUUCAGUGACGAAUCGUGGUGUCCACUUCUGAGCUAAUUUGAGACUUCAGCUAUCGUGCUAUUGUUUAACCUCAAUGCAUUCUCCAAUACUCUCUUCUCUGAAAUUCUGUAUCGGUAUACGAUGCCUUUAGCUCAUGAAGUAGCCUCUCAAUAUGAAACAAUGCCCAUUAGAAGUCUUCGAUAAUGGUGACGUCCAUGCCCCAUUGUGCUCAAAAUUUGAGUCGUCCUUUUUCGGGUUUUCAACUCAGAUCCACCUUUGGUCAAAGCGCCCUUUGCGGGUUUUCGCCUUGGCCUCUCCUUUUUCUUUUUUUAUAUUUUGACUUUGAUUUUUUUGAUUUUUUUGAUUUUUUUUUUGAAUUCAUGAGAUUAGGCAAGUUCUGGUCAUGCUUUUCGACCAGAAUCAAUGUUAUUCUAAAGUCUUCCACAUAAGAUCUUCCACUUUCAUCUUGUAUGUGAGAAACCUUCUUUGGUACCAGAUUUCUUUCACUAGAGCCCUUUUGAGACGCAACUACGACAGAAAAAUUUGGAUCUCUAUCUUUAAUCAGGAUAAAAUCCAACAACAUCUUGAAGGGAUGGAAACUCAACUUCAAAUGGGUAAAGCUAUGCUGACUCAACGAGAGAGGCAUUGCCCCGGCAAAGAAUUGCAUCGUUCGCAUUGUAAAUUUCUGACAUCGUGCUGUUGUGCAGGUUUUAUUAUCAAGCUCACAAUUUCUAAUGAUUCACUGAGAGGUAGGAUCUGUUUAUCCUUUUGUUCUACCAUCCUCAACAAGUUUGGAGAUAAGCUACGCUCUGUGUCAACUUCAAAGUCGUGAGAUCCCUCUAAACACAUGUCUCGCUCAAAAGGAGAUUCUAAGUCUGUAGCAGUGUCACUCAUGCCGUUGAUAUCCAGGGACCUAUGGUAGGUAAUAUAUAAAGAAUGUAUGAAUUUAAGAAUAAUUAUCUGCACAGUAUGAUUAUGAAUGAAUGAAAGAAUGAUUUGGAUGGAAGAAUAAAAGAAUAAUCAAUGAAAAAUAUUAGUUCAAAAGAUCGCAAAGAUGCAUUCCAUUAAAAUAAUGACGUUCAGACAUAAGCCUUUUUCACGAAAGACUUCUUGUUGCUCUAGGCUGAAAGCAACAAGUGUGUUUUGAAUAUUACUCUGAGUAAGCUCUAAAUGCUACAAAGGUUUCUUUAGAACACUCCCAGGUUUAUAAGGGCGAACAUCUAAUAAGGUCCCUUUUCAAUUACGCCUUCAUAUAUGGUAUGGAUGUGAAAACUUCCCAACACUUUCUCAUAUAUUGCGUUCACCCCAUUUGUUAAUCAUGAUUGGGUGGCGAAUUUUCUGCAUUAGAUGAAUCACCAAACUUGAUGACACCCAUGUUGAUGAGUUUUUCAACCAGUUUCUUGAAGGCUAUGCAGUUCUCUAUAGAAUGCCCCGUAUUUCCCGCAUGAUAUUCGCAAUGUGCAUUCGCAUCGUGCCAUUUGGGGUACGGUGGCUGUGGAGGUUUCGUGUAGAGAGGGGCGACAAUACGUGCGUUGAAUAAGCUUUGAUACAACUCCUUAUAUGACAUCGAAAUUGGCGUGCAUUGAAGGUUUUCAGUGCCUUGCUUCACAUACGAUUCUUGUCCAGAUGAACCUUGCUGACUAGUAAUCACCUUUCUUGGCUGUGUAAUCGAUUUGUUGUAGGUGUUCACAUUGCUCACAUCAUUUUCCUUCUUCUUUAAGUCUGACCUUCUAUUAUUCUCCCCAGCAUCAAUCUUUCCACUUCUCACGGCACUUUCAAUCAUUUCACCGCUCAUGACUAUGUCUAAAAAACUCAUCGAAGCACUUCCCAACAUGUGAGUGAUGAACGGGGCCUUCAAUGUGUUGAUGAAGAGCAUCGUCAUUUCUUUCUCUAGGAGUGGCGGCUGAACUUGGAUAGCGACCUCCCUCCACCUUUGUGCGUAUUGCCUAAAACUUUCAUUAGGCUUUUUCUCCAUAUUUUGAAGGGUAAUUCUGUCAAGGACCAUAUCAGCUACAUGACUGUAUUGUUUCAUAAAGGCUUGUGCUAAAUCCCUCCAAGAACUAAUUUGGAUACGCGUCAAUUGAUUGUACCACUUAGACGCUGCCCCUGUGAGGCUAUCUUGAAAGCAGUGUAUGAGCAGUUGGUCGUUGUUGACGUAUCCGGCCAUACGCCUACAGAACAUAGUAAUAUGAGCUUCUGGGCAGCUGGUCCCAUUAUAUUUCUCGAAUUCCGGCAUCUUAAAUUUGUAAGGAAGUAUCAAAUCCGGAACUAAACUCAGAUCUUUCGCAUCUAUUCCAAGAAUGCCGUCGAUACUUUCUAUCGCCCUAAACUUCUCUUCAAUCCAUUUCCAUUUCUCCUCAAACUGCUUUGGUAACUCCUCCUUCAUCUUGUCUUUCUCCGCUACUUCAUCGAAGUCCGGGACAACCAGAUUAUCGUCAGGAUUAGAACCAGAUCUGACCUGAAGGUUCUUCGGUAUUGAAGCGUCACCUUGAAAGUGCUGAGGUCUAAUCGAGACAGAAGAUCUUCGUGGAUGUGGUUCAAUCUGAAUUUGCGCUUGCGGAGGCGUGUAUCCUGGAGAAAAAAGUGGCUCAUCAUUGUUUCCUUCUUCAUCGCAAACCACAGGAUUUUUCCUUUUAUCCACUCCCUUGGUUAUUAAUUGCGUCAAUUUAGUCAUUAGUUCAUCCUGAGACUCCUUCAUCUUUUGUGCCAUGUCUUUCUGGAUCUUUUCCAUAUGUUCUUUUAUUUGCACCUGUAACUGGUCUUGCAUCUCUUUUUGCGUUUGCUCCAGUUUCUCUAAUCUUUGAUCCAUUUCUUUGGCUUUGCGACGAGUACCGUAAGGAUGUUUGGUUGAUUGGUUUUCCAGAUUAGCUGAAAUAAUUUUACAUAAUUAGGGUCACUUCGUGAAAAUCUAAUGCAUAUGAUGCAAUGUAAUGCAAAUGCAUGAAAUGAAUGCCUAAAGAGACGUUGAUUCUGAUUCAAUUACAUUUAGGAAACUUUUCUAGAAAGCAAAUUCCCUUACAUAAAACGGAUACAUGUACGACCUCACCCUCAUAUUCCAAGAAACAACAUCGAUUUCUUCUUCAUCGGCAUGUUUGAGGUAAUCUCACCAAUAGAUGCCAUUGCUAGCUCAUUUUCUUGAUCUUGGUCGCGAUCCAUCAUCUGCCCAUCUUCAUAAGGCUUGUCAGCUUGUUGAAGGCUUUUGGACAAUCGUCUCGAAUCCCCAGGCCACCAAGCAAGGUUACGAACUCUUCCAUCGCCAUUCUUGUGUUUCUCAGAAUAUGUUUGGGAAGUCGUAUUGUUUUCCACUUUAUCAAGGAAUUCGUAUUCCAUGACAAGCUUUCUAAUUUAGUAAUUGGAUUUGAAUCCAUAUCUCUUUCCUAAAAUGCAAUGCAAUCAUAAUCAAAACAAAACAAGAUCGGUUAGUAAAAAAAACAGAAGCAAACAAGGAAAACAAAAAGUACCUAAUCGGGUAGAUACUAGGGGUUUGGAGUGGCUCUACCUAGGUUAAGUUCCUAAGUCUACUAUAUGAGGGUUGGUUCUAAAGUAAGGGUACCCGAACCAGCAGAUUCCUCGAUCCUCACCCAUUAUAGGCUCAUACGGACUGAGUUCAGUUCAGGGGAAUACAUUUCCCUAUGGCCAUGCGGAGAUGAUAAUCUCACGAAGACAUAGGUACGGAUGUAUCCCGAAAGCGAUUCACUAUCCCAUGCGGAGGUGAAAACCUCACGAAGGCGUAGCUUCUCACUCCCACUUAAAAAGGGUGUGACCAACGGUCAUGCAAUGCAAUGUGCAAAAAUAAAUCUGAACUUAAACACAACAAUUAUGAAUCAUAAUGACGAAGAUCAUAAUAAAGAUAAAAAUACAAUGAAAGGAUCGUAUAUUUAAACUAAGUUUUUUAUUUUUGACAAAAAGACAAAAAGUAAUCAAUUCAUGGCUUGACUCUCGUGUUUUGUCCCCAGCGGAGUCGCCAAGCUGUUGACACCAUUUUUUUUGGAUAAAAACGGGGUCGACUUGGGUUUUGAAAAAAAUGAAACAGGAGUCGCCACCAAUCCUUUUUAUAAGGUGUGAUUGGAUCACCUCGAAAAGCGGUCGUUUUUAAUAAACGGUUUGAUUUUAUUAAAACAACAAGUUUGGUCCGCAAAAUUCAGAAAACGGGUUCGGAGUCGGUUACGCACGAGGAAGGAUUAGCACCCUCGAUACGCCCAAAAUUGGUACCUUAGUGGAUUACUUAAUGUCUUAAUGUCGAAAAUUGAAAACUUAGAAGAAUUAAAAAAUACGAUCCUUGUAUUAAAACGUUGAAAAUUUUCAGGAAAAUGGGCAUAUUUCACAUUAUUCGAGAAAGAGAAUCAUAUCCAGUAAGUUAGAAUGCAAUGUCUCAAAUUCCCAAUACGUGAAUGAAUGCCAGAAUUUUACUUAUUUAAAAGAUAUUUUAUUAUCUCGGGUUUAGGAAAGGGAUCAUGCCCAGUAAGUUAGGACACGAUCUUUUCUUAAUUCCCGAGAUCGUUUCAAAAUUUGAGUUUGAAAAGAUUAGUGUAUUUAGAUUUAUUGUGGAAAUCGAAACCCAGUAAGUUAGGGUACGAUCCUCUCGAAUCUAAACACAAAAUAUCAUUUUUUAAACAAAUUUUAUUAUCGAGUGAAAUAAAAACAUGAAGUCGUAGUAAAAAUGUGAAAGCAAAUUACAUUGUUAUACAUGACAAAAUCAUAAUGAAUACAAAAGUGUAAAAAUGAUACGAGCGAUAGCAACAAUAUAAAAUAAAUAAAAGUCAAACCUACAAUCAUAUAAAAUAACAAUAUAUAUAUAUAAACAAAUAAAUUAAACAUUCGUUCAAAAUAAUAAUGAAAAUGAAAUAAAUAAAUAGUGAAUACAAUUAAAAUUUAAAGGGAUAUAUAUAUAUUUAUAUGUAUAGACAAAAAAUAAAAUAUGUGUGUAUUCAUAAAUUACAAUAUAUAUAUAGAGUAUACUUUAAAAUAUAAAAAAAUAUGCAUAUAGAUAAAAAUAUGUACACAUAUAUAUAGGUGUAUAAAAUUAUGGAAUAUGAAAAUAAUGAAAUGCAUAUAUAAAGUAGGCGCAUGAAAAUAUGUAUGUACAAAUUAAAGUUUAAAAAUAAUGAAAAUAUACCUACGUAUACAAAUAAAUACGUUAAUUUAUAUAUAUAUGUUUAAAGUAUAUUGAAAACAUGUAUGUAUAUGUCUAUGCAAAUUAAGAUAUACAAAAACAUAUAAAUACAUACAUAUAAAUAUAUAUACUUAUAAAAAUAAAAAUAUGUAUAUGUAUAUAGAUAUAUAUAAAAAAGAAAUAUGAGUAUACGUAUAUAUAUUAAACAAAUUAUAUGUAAAAUAUGUACAUGUAUAUAUACAAGCACUUAUAUGAUAAUAAUAAGGCAUAUAUAUAUAUUUAAAAAUACAUAAGUAUAUAUGAAUAGAGAUAUAAAAGUAACAACAAUAAUACCAAUACUAAUAAUAGUAAAGAUGAUAAUAAUAAUAAUAAUAAUAAUAAUAAUAAUAAUAAUAAUAAUAAAGUUAACAAAAAUUGACUAAAUAAUAAAAUAUGCUAAAAAAGGGCCUUAAAUCGAAAUGAAAUAAAACAUAUAGGGCCAAUUCGAAAUAAAGGAAAACGAAAGGGAUCCAAUUGCGACGCGCGUAAAAAAGGGAAGGACCGAAACAGAAAAUAAACCCAAAAUCCCAAAACGCAGCACCUCAAUGGACUAAAAUAAAACAAAAGUAAAAUAUUAGGGCUAAAUCAAAAUAAAAUAAAACAACAAAAUAGGACCAAAUUGAAACACACCGCGAAUCAGAGGGACUGCGCGCAUAAAUUGCCCAAAAAACUAAAACACGCGGAUCCUACGGGUCGGGUCGGGUCGACGCGCGGAUCCCCCUUUGCUAAAACGGCGCCGUUUUGUGUUUAAUAUAAAUAUAAAAAAAAAGCUAAAAACAACACUGCUUCAUUAUUUUAUUGAAAAAAAAGAGAGAAAACUCUCUCUUUUUCAUUUUUCUCAGGCUCCGAUUCCGGAGAUGGCUCGGCCAAGGCUUCCGGCGAGUCUCCGCCGUAGAGCCACCGCGUGUGGCGGCCGGAGGUCCAAAAUCGGACCUUUUCGGUCCCUUUUUGAAGCCUAGCGUCCCUAGGGUACGGAUCUAGGGCCAAAUCCCCGAAAAAAGAGCCGGAGACCCGAAGAUCGAGGGGAAACCGCUCGUCUUCUCCUCUCCGGUGCGGCGCAGGUAAGGUUCUUUUGGUUUUUCGUUUGUUAUUUAGUGUAGAAGAUAAAAAAUAAACAAUAAAGAGAGAAGAGAUUUAGACACUAAAAAGGUCACCUUUUUUUAUCUCUUUGUUUUUUUUCUUUUCAAAAGGGCUCCGAACCCCCCCUUACAACUGAUUUUGCUUGGCUUUUUAUAGCCAUUUUACAUGAGUUCUUUAUCUAUUUUUGUCUCUGCUUUGCGUGUUUGGUUUCAUCUUGCAGGGAGUCAGAGGAGUUGGUGGAGCAGGUGAGGCCGUGCGUCGGUGGUCAGAGGAACGGCGGCAGUAGUCAGGACCGAUUAGGUUUUCUUUCUUUCUCUAUUUUUUGUUUAUUUUGGGCUGGUAGAAAUGGGUUUGGGUUAAUUGGGCCUUAAGCCCGGGCUAAAAUUGGUCUGUACAAAAAUAGUAUUAAAUCUAAAAAUGAAUGAAGAGAUUUGUGGUUAUAAAAAAAUAAAUCAACUAUGAACACAAUUUUGAAGUUCUUAAGAAACACAAGUCUGGUUUAUCUACAGCCCCAGCUUUAGAGAUCACUAUUCAAUUAUAAUUAGGAAUUAUGGGAACAAAAAUUGAAUAUACUCAAAAAGAUAGUUUAAGUUUUUCGAUAAGGAUGUAAAAACAUAAAGCUCUAUUAUUAGUAAUUUAGUUUCUUGUUUCUAGGAUUUGUUUUAUUGUUGUAAUUAAUUUCUUAUCAGCAUGUUGAUGACGUAUAUUGAUGAUUUUAUAUUAAAUUUUUUGUAAUUUUUUAAACUUUAUUUUUUCACAAAUAAUAUAAAAUAAUGGUGUCUAAAUAUUUUAAUAUUGUAAGAAUACUAUAAAUUACGUUCUCCAAAACUGAAAAUUCCCCAAAAAAAAAAACGAAAUAAAUCAUUGCUUUAUUAUAUAUAUGAUAUGUAUGUGUAUAUAUAUAAUAUAUAUUAUGUUGAACAUCAAGUUUCCUAAUUUAAAUUGGAUUCUAAAUUAUAAAAUUAACUACUGAUUUAUCCAGAUUGAUAUGUGGUAUUAGUAAUUUAGAACCCUUAUUUUUUUUUUAAAGAAAUAUUGUGCGCAUCUUUUAAAUUUACAAAUUAUUUCAACUUUUUAGAAACAUUUUUUUGGUAAUGUUUUAAGAUUAUUAUAAUAUAUCAUAAAAAAAUUUAAAAAAAAUACCAUAUACCUUCAGAACUAACUAAAGUUUUGUUUUUAUUUUUUGACUUCUGCAGGGAUUGUAUUAUAGACUCCACUUAAAAUCAGCAAUGAAAGGAAAUUUGUUUAUUAAAAUUACUUAAUUGAAUAUUUUUGACGAAAACCACGCGUUUAAUUUCUAUAACAUUCAGAGAGAAUUUUUUUAUUUUUAUUUUUAUCAGCAUAAAAUUAGCGCUGAAAUUUACAUCUCAUGACAAAAAAAAAUAAAAUACAAAAUACAAUCUAUUUUUUCCACAGCAGAAAUACAAAUUGAAAUCUGAUUCACAACCUAAAUUACCGCAUUUAAAUCUUUUUAGUGGAUUUCCAAUACUAUAUGGCUUUAAUAUUGAUUGUUUUAUUAAUAUUUAAAACAAUGAUAAAUGUAAUAGGCCCAAUUUGUCCGGCCCAAAAGCACAAAUAAACCAAAAUAAAAUAAAAACCAAUAGCAGUCCUUUUAAAUGUUUAGUAUUACAAAACCAAUACAAUAUCAACCUAACCCAUUACCUAAUUGCAUUACCCAACACCAGGCCCAAAUUACAAACCCAUUAUAGCCCAAAAUCAAAACCCAGCCUAGCCCCAGACUUUCCAAGCACCAAAAACCCUAAUAGCAACAGGAGCCUUCUGCGCCGCUCCACGUACGCCUGCCCUCGCACGUGCACCAUCGCCUCCACGCCCAGCUGGCGCCGUACGCCCAUACCUGCGCAGCAAACAGACAAACAACACCAACAAGAGCAACAGAAAAUAUAAAAUAUAAAAAAUAUCAGAGAAAAGGACAUGUAUUUUUAUUCUUUUUUUUGUAUUUAUUUUUUUCUCUUCGAUUCAAUUGGGAUAUAAGGUCGAUUCAAACAUUGUAAACGAACGGAGAGACAAUAUCAAUACAUAGAAAAGGAGAAUACUGUAUCAAAAAAACACGAAUUAAUACAAAAGGUUUUCUGUUCCUCUUUCCCAUUCGGUUUUUUUUAUUCCCUUGUUUUCUUUCUUUUUUGUUCAUCAUAUAAAAUAUACGAGCAUAUAUAUAUAUAAGAUAUAAGAAAUAAAAAAGGGGGAGGAUCGUACCUCAUGGCUAGUCUUGCCUUCUACUCGUCGCAAUCGGAGCCGGAAGGAGAUCAAAGGCACGAAACAGCGCAGCAACGAGAGGAAGCUUGCUUAGGGUUUGCUUCAAAUGGCAGAUUAGGCUUAGUUUAGGGUUUUCUUUUUUUUUUUAUACUGAUUAUUGAAACGGCGGCGUUUCAAUCAUGUCUCAGUAGCUUUGAAAACGGCGCCGUUUAAAGGCCCUCGACCCGCGCGGUGACCCGACCCAAGGGAAGGAUCUGCUCGUUUUUGCUAAAUGGUUUAUUUACGCUGCAGGCCCUCCGUGCUUGGGUGUUGUUUCGAUUCAGUCCUUUUUAAUUUAUAUAGUGUAUUUGAUUACGAUUUCAUUUAAGUACUUCCUUAAACGGUGGCGUUUUUGUUCUCUGGAUUUGAAUUCUUGAAGUUGUGCGCUUAAUCGUCACUUUAGUCCUUAGUUUUGAGUUGAUUGUAAUUUUAGUCCUUUGAAUGUUGUAAUUUUAAUGCGAUUACCUUUUUUAUUAUUCUUAUUUUUCUAGUAUUUCAUUUAAUUUUGUAAAUGUUUAUUGUUCUUUUACGACAACUAAACCUUUUAUUAUUAUUAUUAUUAUUAUUAUUAUUAUUGUACUUUAAAUUAAGUUUCAAUUCAAAUUUAGUUUUUAAUAGCAUAAUUAAAUUGGAUUGGUAUCUAUUUUUUUAAAAAUUUAUUUAUAGUAUAUUUUAACAUCCGCUUGACAUUUUUUUAAGUUAUUUAAUAUAAUUUUAAGAUAUUAUUAUUAUUUUAGUUAUUUUUUUAAUUUAUCAUACAUUUUAAAAAAAAAUCUAUUAUAUACUAUUAUUUUAAAAUUUAUUUUGUAUUAUGUCUUGUCAUAUAUUCAUUAUCACUUUGAUUAAUCAUUUUUUAUGUAAAUUCGUUAUAUCAUGUAUACAUUCUUUAAAAUUUUUAUUCUAUAAUAUUUUUCUUUAAUUUCACUCAUUAUAUUUUUUUAUUUGUAUAAGAGUUUUUUUAAACGUAAUAUUAUAUAUAUGUACAUAAUUAUUUCUUUUAAAAAAAUACAUAUAUCUUCCUCCAUAUUUUGUAUAUUUCAACUUUUAAAUAUUAUUAUAUAGAUUAUUAUUUUUAUAAAGUUUUUCAAUCCCUAUGCAUUACUUAUUUAAAUUAAUACAUGUAUAUUAUUACUUACCUUAAUUUUCAUAACACUUGUUUCAAAAUUCAUCUAAAUAUUAUUAUUCAUGUAGUAGGUCUUUGAAGUUGGUUAAUGAUUCGUUUAAUCUUUGAAUGUUGUACAAUGUGGGAUAUGAAAUUAUCACUCCUAUGUAUUGUAUUGCUUAUUUACUUGGCUAUUCUUCAUACAUUAGUGUAUAUUUAAAUUUCGAAUUAUCACUUCACGAUGUGCAUUAUUGCUCCAUCAUUCUUUAUUCGUGUAAAAGGUUAUGCUUAAUAUCAUUUGAGUAUCAAAACCAAGUUAUUCAAAAAUCUUCAAAAUACUCGAAGUUUGGAAUCCUCGAGAGAAUUGAGCCCUAACGUAUUGGGUUCUAAUUUUCCUCGUCGAAUCUAAAUAAUCGAAAUUUUUCAAACAUACAAAUUUCAAAUAAAAACCCAUUCUCAAGAAUUCGACACAUUGUGUCCUAACGCAUUGGAUAUGACAUGUUAUUUUCUCGAGACAUGGAUUUUAAAAAUAAAGGCAAUAUUCGAUAUUUAGGAAUUUUGUGAAAUCGAGCCCUAACUUACUGGGUUUUGAUUUUCUCAUUUGACGAAAAUAAUCAGAUAUCUUUCUCAAAAUGCAUAGGUUUUUAAAGUCAAGAGAUAAAUUUAAUUUUGAGGAUUUAAAAUGUUGCACUCUAACUUACUGAGUGUGACGAUUUAUUUCUUUGAAAUAAGUGAAUCUCAUUGUCUAAUUCAUUUUAUUCAAAAUAAAAGGAUCGUAUUUCAAAAUCUUUUCAAAAUUUCAAAAUUAAGACAUUAAACAAUCGAUUCGGUACCAAUUUUGGGUGUUACGAAGGUGCUAACCCUUCCUCGUGCGUAACCGACUCCCAAACCUAUUUUUCUCAAAAUUCGCAGACAAAAAAUUAUUUUCAGGGUGAUCCGAUCACACCACAAUAAAAGAUCGGUGGUGACUCCCCAUUUUAUUUUUAAAGUCGAUCCCUAUUUUUCAAAUCUCAUUAAAAAUGGUUUCGACAAUAAAUAAAACAAAUUAAUGGUACGGUUUCGGAUUAAUGGUACACUAUACUACAUAAAAUUAUUGUCUUAUUUGUUCUAAUUAAAAAAAAUCCAAUUGAAAGGCAUCACUUUUCUAGUAACUAAUCAUUACGAUAUAACCAUACAUAUACAAAAAAUGGAAAUUCAAUGUUUAUGAGUAGUAGAUGAGAUUUUUUAGCAAAGGUACUCUGCCAAAGUAGCAAUUUCGGGGGAGGCGGUUUCUCCUAUUAGGGUUCUUUUCUUCUGCAGAAAUAAUAGUUUCGUGGGGGUUUUUUCUCUGAUUAGAGAAAAAAUGUUUUUUCUAGUUUUUUAUUCCAAGAAAAAAAUGAUAAAUCUUAUCAAAUCAAUAACCUUUUGAAGAUGGGCUAGCAAAUUUUAAUAUUACCAAUGAAGAAGAAGAAGAUCCAACUCUAGGGCAUGAAGAUGAGUUCAAUCUAUGCCUAGUAGGAUGGGUUCUAACUGAUAGCGUUGUACACUUUCCAUCAAAUGAGGAACGUUCUUGUAGAGUUAUGGUAUCCAUUAAAAGGAGUCUCCAUUAUAGAAAUCGAAGAAAGAAGAAUUUUGUUCAGAUUUUAUAACAAGAUAGAUCUGAAAAGGGUAAUAGAUGGUAUACCCUGGUUUUUCAACAGACACUUGAUUAUUUUUCACCAAUUGUUAAAAGGAGAGGAUCCGAUACAAGUCCCCCUAUUCCACACUAUUUUUUUUUGUGCAAAUUCAUAUUUACCAAUAGAAUCUAUGUUUGAAGGAAUGGCACGAUAGUUGGAGAACUUCAUUGGAGAAUUCCUAGAGUACGAUACAAUGUUAAUAACAAGGGGAAUAAAAAAGUUUAUGCUCAUCAAGGUGUAAUUGGAUAUUCGAUCCCCACUGAGGAAGAAGAAACGUAUCAUAUAUAGUCAAAAUUGAUAAACUUAUGCGAAUUUCCAAUACGAAAAAUUACCCAUUUUCUAUUUUUUAUGUGGAAGACUAGGACAUAGAGAGAGUUUUUGUCCAAUUCGUUUAACACUGGGUUCGCAAGAGGCGGAUGGUGGGUGGGAUAUCUCACUAAGAGUUCCACCGAGAAGAACAACACUGGUUACAAGCAGAUGGUUGAUAGAAGAUUCGAAGGAGGUGGGAAAAAUUGGAAUGGAAGUGGACAGGAGUAGGGAUAGAAGGCAUGUUGGGGUUUCGCUUGGUGAACAAACAACCAAAACAGGAGAUAAAUGGAUAUAGGACAUUAUGAUCGGGAAUGAGAGAAAAUGAGGCAAAUUAAAUGUAGAGCAAAGACUUGGAACAAGAGGAAUAUCAUAUUACAAUUAUUUGAAGGCAGCAAAUAUAGAGUUGGAAGAUAAACCGAUAGGCUUAAUGGAUGGGAAGAAAAGGCAACGAAUGCAUCAAGUGGGGGAGAAGAGUAACAGUAGCCCAAUGGAAGUAGAACUAGACAAUAAAUUAUCGGUGGCCACUAGCAAGUAAGUCGAUCGGUCACAAUGAAAACCUUAAGUUAGAAUGAUCGUGGUUUGGGGCAACUGCAGACAAUUAGAUGUCUCAAAAAUAAAUUGAGACAAAUUUAGCCUUAGCUUUUGUUCCUUAUAGAAACAAAAGUAGGUGCAAGAAGUAUGGAAAUGAUAAGAAGGAAGUGUGGUUUUGCAAAUAGGAUUGAUGUUAAUGUAGAAGGAUCAAGAGGUGGGCUUUCCUUAGGAUGGAGAGAUGAAUUAUCUGUAACUUUAAAAAGUUUCUCAAGCUCUCACAUAUAUGUGGAAGUGUCAGAAGAAAGCGAGGAUCUUGUUGGAGGUUUACCGGAUUCAAUGGUUAUCCAGUAGAGCAUUCGAGGAAGGAAUCAUGGAAUAUGCUUAAGAAGUUGAAGGAAAACAAUCAAUUACCAUGGUUAGUAUUGGGUGAUUUCAAUGAAAUUAUGUUUUCUUUUGAAAAAAAAGGAAGAAGGUUAUGAGAAGAAAGACAAAUGUCAACUAUUAGAGAUGUUUUAAAGGAUUGUGAUUUAAACGACUUGGGUUUCUCUGACAAUGGUUUACUUGGGAGAGGGGAAAACUACCGAAAAAUAACAGAAGGGAAAAACUAAAUAGGGAAGUUACAAAUUUGGCAUGGUGGAAUCAUUUCCUAAACUAUUCAGUACAUCACCUAAAUCAUAGGUUUUCGAAUUAUUGCCCAAUUUUAGUGGAUACCAUACGGAAUAAGAAGGGAAAUCUACUCGAAGGGAAUUGUCAUUUCACUUUAAAGCAAAUUGGAUUAUGAAAAAGGAUUUUGAGAAGCAAGACAAAAAGGAAUGGGAUUCAAAUAGAAAUGAGCUGCCAGAUAAGGUGAAAGAUCUAGGCUAUAUGUUACAAGAAUGGGCAAAAAAUAAUAAAGAAUUUCAAAGAAAAAGAAAAGAGGAUUUGAAUGAAAGAUUAAAUUAGCUAAAAGAGGAAGAUUCAAGCAAGGAAAGCAUGGUAGAAAUCAUGGAUGUUAAAUUGGCCUUGAAUAUGGAGGCAGAUAAGAAAGAAUUAUUCUGGGCACAAAGAGCCAGAGUGAAUUGGCUUCGGAUGGGCGAUUGUAACACUUUAUUUUUUCACAACUAUGCUUCGUAUCGAAAAAAUAAAAAUUCAGUAAAAGGAUUGAAAGAUGAAAACGGGAGCUGGGUACAAGGAGAAAAAGAGUUGAUGGAAUUAGCAACAAAAUAUUUCAAACAUAUAUUUUCUUCAAAACCGGUGUAGAAUUGUGAACAAUUUAUGGCAAAAAUUCUAUCAUGCAUAAUAGGAAGUCACAAUGAGGAACUAAUGUUGGAGUUUAAGGGAGAAGAGGUGGUUGAUGCAAUGAAGCCGAUGGCACAAAUUAAGGCCUCGAGCAAGGAUGGGUUUUUGGCAUUAUUCUAUAAAAAAAUUUGGCAUAUCGUAGGGAACAAUGUAACAAAAUUUUGUUUAAAGGUAUUGAAUAAUCCUAAAGAAUUAGAGGAAGUAAACAAAACCAACAUUGUGGUAAUUCCUAAGGUAUCUACUCCAAAGAAGAUGGGGCAAUUCAUGCCUAUUAGCCUUAAGCUGUGUAUUGAGGAAACGCAAUGAGCUUUUGUCCCACAGAGGCAAAUAACAAACAACAUUUUGGUGGCAUACGAAAUCCUGUAUUCUUUCAAAAAGAAAAAAAGGGUAUGGAACUAGAUCUUUUGCAUUAAAAUUAGAUGAGUAAAACAUAUGACAAAGUGGAAUGGGGUUUUGUCGAAAGAUGCUGAGUAGUUUAGGUUUCUACAAUGACUGGAUUUCACUUAUCAUGAGAUGUGUUAAAAGUGUUGCAUAUUCGGUAGUAAUUAAUGGAGCACAAGGUGUAGAAUUUAAACCUAUAGGAGGAUUAAGGCAAAGGGAUCCUCUGAGCCCAUAUUUAUUCAUAAUUUAUACAGAAGGCUUCUCAAAACUGUUGAAUAUUGCAAAAAGAGAUAAAAAAUUUAUAGGGCGAAAGUGGAAAGAAGUGGAUUAUCAAUAACACACCUAUUUUUUGCCAAUGGUAGUAUUCUUUUUGGGGAGGCAACAAAUGAAGAAGCUAUAGCGAUAAAAUUUGUGGUGAACGAAUAUGAGAAUAUAUCAGGUCAAUUGAUUAAUUUUAAUAAAUCACUAAUCUAUUUUAGUAGUAACGUGUGCAGCAAUGUAAGGAGUCAGAUAAGCAACGUAUUGGGAGUUAGAAUUUCAAACAAUCCAAAGAAAUAUCUUGGCCUUACAACAAUGGUAGGAAAAUGAAAAAAGAACGCAUUUGUAAACAUGAAAGAAAAUUUUAUCAAAAAGAAUGAAAGAUUGGUGUGUGCGUAAUUUAUCACUAGGAGGAAAAGAGGUAUUUAUUAAAGCUGUUUUACAAGCCAUUCCUAUUUAUGCAAUGCAAUAUUUUAUGUUGCUUGUGUCAUUAUGCCGAGAAUUAAAAAAUUUAAUGUGUAGAUUUUGAUGGCGUAAUUUAAAAUCUAACAAGGGCAUACAUUGGUGUAGUUGGAAUAAUAUGUGUAUCAUAAAAACAUAAGGGGGGAUUGGGUUUAAGGAGUUAUCAAAAUUUAAUGACAAGAGCGAUGAAAGCAAAAUAUUAUUCUCGGGGAGAUUUCAUGAGCGCAAGUUUAGGAUCUUACCCUUUGUUUACCUAGCGUAGCAUUUGGGGUGCUCGUAGGUUAUUGGAAAGUGUCUUAGGGUGGAGAAAUGAGAUUGGAGAAUUGGUGAACAUAUGGAACAAUGCGUGGUUGCCAAGUUCUGGUGAUGCAAGAGUAAAGAUUCAGAACAUAGAUAUUAGAUUUUCAAAAGUAGCAGACUUAAUAGAUAAGGGAAAGGUUACUUGGAAAAUUGAGAUCAUUCAAGGGCUAUUUAGCGAGGAGAAAAUGGGGAGGAAUUUGUCUAUCCCUCUGGUAGGCAGUAUGUAGUAUGCAAACAAAUGAGAUAAUAUGAAGGGGCAAUAAUUCUGGAGUCUAUACAAAAAAAAAGCGGUUACAAAUUACUCAUUACAGAAAGCUAGGAUUUGCUAGGAGACCAAAAUACAUUACAAAUUGAAAGAUGCAAUCUGCCUCAAAGUCCGUAGCAAAAUUAGGAUAAACCUAUGGAAAAUCACAUACAACUAUAUGCCUACUCUAGGUAAUCUAAAACUUCACUGGUUAAGGAAAGAUGCAAUCUGCCCAGUUUGCAAAGAAGAAGAGGAGACAGUAGCCCAUCUGUUUAGAGAAUGCAUUUUCACAAAAAAAAGGGUACUAUAGGAGAUUGAGCUGACACCCUUGAGUACAAACAUUAGUCAAAAUUGGAGACAAUGGUUAGAAUCAAAACUAGUAAAUAAUAGUAUGCAGUAUGGAAUAAAUCUGCCCAUGACAUUUUGGGCUAUAUGGUAUGACAGGAACAAACUUUAUCAUGAGGGAGUAAGGGAAAGGGUGCAAGAUGUAGUGAGAUUUGUAACACCCUUAACCCUUCUUCGUUGUCAGAUUAGGGUUACAAAGCAUUACCAUACAAAACAUAAUGUUUAACUUCAAAACAAAAAUAAUUAUGCAAUGUAAUUUCAACAUUUAUUAGCUCAAUAUAACCAUAGUAAAAAGACAUUAUCAGGCUUUAAACCGAGCCUUCGGAGCACUAAAAACAACUUGGAAACAAUUAGGGAUCAAUUUAAGACAAAACAAAAAAAAAUUCGAAAACAUGAAAAAUUUUAGAAACAGGGGUCACAUGGCCGUGUGGCUAGGCCAUGUGACAUAGCCCAGACUGUGUGGACAUUUAAAGUAUGGACACACGGCCGUGUUCCUGCCUGUGCAUCCGCUUGUGUGGGUAUUCAAAAUAGGGCCACAUUGCUGUGUCGCAGGUCAUGUGCCAAAUCGUGUGUGCAUUCGAUGUUGUGUCACACGGUCGUGUCUCAAACCGUGUGAAACCUAUACCUAAAAUAAUAACGACACAUAAUUAUUUACAUCCUUUUUUCCACAUAAUUAUAGCUUGUUUGAUAGCAAAUCAAAACAUUUUAGUAUAUAUUAAUGUUGUCAUACUUAAAGUAGUAAUUUACGUUUUCUAGUAGUUUUUAUUAUAUUUUAUAUAUCAAAAUAAGGUUACAUGGUCUUUUAGGUCAAGUCGGGAGCCAAAGAUACUUAUUUAAGCCAAAACUGAUGCCUGUAUCACGACACUAAGAUACUGAUGUCUCAACGUCGAAGACAGAAACUAAAAACAAAUUUCAGAGCGAUACUACCCUCGAUGUUGCGACAUAGCCCUCCUAUGUCGCGACAUACCCCUUGCGCAGCCAAAAAUUCCUGCACGCUUUAACUACAUUUUGGAGGGAAAUUAGGUGUAUUUAUCUCAAUUGAACUUUAAGGACUUCAAGGAUAAUUUAGGCACUUUAAUAUUUCGAUUUUAGCCUAUAUAAAAGCUACUGUAAUUAAUUUAAAUAUACAAUUUUAGGGUUUUAAUUAUGAGGUUUUACUUUCAUUCUUAGUUUUUACCUAUGUUAUUUUAUGUUCUUGUAACCGGAAGAUCAUAUUUUGAAGUGAGACUUCUGUAAGGGGAGAUUGUUCUAAAACCACACUUUCAUCAAUAAAUCCAUAAGCAUCUCUUUUCCUUAUUCUCUUCUUUCUAUUUCUUUCUUUAACAUUUUUAGAUGAAUUUUUGUGUAAAUAUUAGAAUCAAUUUGUGCUUUCUACAUAUUUUGCAUGUUGUAAUUGCUUGAACUUAAUUAAUUGCUUGAAUGAUAGAGUGUAACACCCUUAAUCUGUCUCCGUCGUCGAAUUAGGGUUACAAAAUGUUACUGUACAAAAUAGAACGUUUAAAUUCAAAAUAGAAUAACAAUUCAACUUACGAAUUGUUUUCUAAUUACUCAAUUUAAUCAUGGCAGUAAUGCACAUUUGGGCCUUAAACCGAGUAUUCGGGGCCCUAAAAAUAAGUUGGAAGUAAUCGGGGGAUCAAUUUGAACAAGUCACAAAAUUGUAAGAAGAACAUGAAAAUUUGAGAAAUAAGGGUCACAUGGCCAUGUGACAUAGCUUAGACCAUGUGGACAUUCGAAGAGCGAUCACACUGUCAUGUCCCAGCCCGUGUGUUCACGAGUGUGUACAUUGAAAAUAGAGUCACACAGUCAUGUCGCAGGCCGUGUGCUAGACCGUGUAACUUACUGAAUUGGUACACAUAGUCGUGUCUUAGACUAAGGGUGUUCAAUCGGUGAACCGAUCCAAAAUAAUAUUAACCGAACUAACCGGCCUUUCAAAAUUUUUAACCGUUAAUUGAACUGAAAUUUUUUCAAAAAAAUUAAUCGAACCAAAAUUUUUUCGAUUAAUUCGGUCAGUUAACUGAAUUAACCGAAUUAUAUAUAUUUUUAUUUUUGGUUAAAAAUUAACCGAAUUAACUGAAUUAACCGAAUUACCCAAAUUGAAUCACUGCAUAAUUAAAAACAUUACAUAAGUCUUUGAAUUUUAUUUUUAUUUAUUAAAUUAUUUUCUUAGACUUUUAAACUUUAGUUUUAGUUUUAGUUUUAGAAUUUUAUUUUUAUUUAUUAAAUUAUUUGUAAUUUUUAUGAUUGGGUUGGGUUGGAUACUUGGGUUGGGAUUGGGUUUAGGGGAAUAGUGGGCCUAUUUAUAUAUUAUAAUUUUAUUUAUUAAUUUUUUCAGUUAAACCAAAAAAAUUCGGUUAACCGACCGGUUUCGAACCGAAUUAAUCGUUAACUGAAAAAUUAAAAAAUAAUUAACCGAACCCCGACUGAAAAAAUUCGAUUAACUGACUGAUUAACCGAAUUCGAUCCGUUAACUGAAUUUUUUUGGUUUUACCCGAAUUUUGCACACCCCUAUCUUAGACCAUGUCUAACUUGCACCUAAAAUAAAAAGUAACACACAAACAUGUAUCCAAGUCGUGUGUCUCACACGACCGUAUGAAAGCUCGUGUCUCAGGUCGUGUGCUCCAUAAUUAUCCCAUAAAACAAGCCAUUUUAAGAUCAAACCUUGCCCAACAAGCUACUCCAUUUGCACAUAGACUCAAAGGCCAUAAACACACUUCAAACAUUCAUAAUAUACCAAUUCAAUGAACUUAGACCUUCUAACCAAUAUGUCAUUCAAAGGCACCUCAUUUCAUAUCAAAACAAAAUCCAUUAAGAACAAAGCUAUAAUGCCACUUCUCAAUCACCAAACUUAGGUAAAAUAGCUACCUAAAGCCAUCUAUUACCAACCCAUUUUACCAUUCAAGAUAAGCAUACCAAAAUGACCAUUUAUGUAACACCCCAAACCCGGCCUAGACGUUAUGGCCAAAUCUAGAGUUGUUACGUAAAAUGGUUAAAAAUUUGAUUUCUGUGUAUCUUGAAACUCGUCGUAAACUCUUAAAUCCCGAAUUACUAAAAAAAACAUAUCUUAUCUAACUAUUUAUUUGAAAGCAAUGUUUGACUAUAUUUUCUAAAACUUAUGAUUUUGCAGCCGAAACCCUUAGAAAAAUGUAUUUUUGAAAACACAACUUGUUAAUUGAAACCCAUUGAUUUUGUAGAAAAUUAUCGUUGUCGAUAAAACGUUUAAACAUUAUUAUAUGAAAACAGAAAGUAAAAUUCCAAAACCAAAAAUAGUUCCAAAUGUCCCGAGAGUCCAAAAUUUAGAUAACUCUCAAACCAAAAUUUUGAUUAAGUCAAAUUUAAGAAAAAUACGGUAUUAACUGAGCUUCUAAUUGCACCGAUCCUACUAAGUCUGAGGAUUACCUGAAAAUAACAGUCAAACGAAAUAUGAGUUUUCGAAACUUAGUGUGUAACAAACAACUCAAACAAUUAGUUAUUAACAAACAAUUUAUCAAUACAGAAUCUUAAUAGAGCAGUUCAAAUGCAGAUAUACAAAUAUAAUUCCUACCCCCAACCACUACACACCAUCUCCGACUAUCCCAACACUCCACUUAGUGUCGUUAAGACAUUUACCAGAUAUUUGCAGCUGAGUUGCUGGUAUAAUAGAUGAGGUAUCACCACUAACAAAAACACUUCCUCCAGAGAAUACAACUCAUCCAAAUGCAGUCAUAAAUCAAAACAUAAAUCAUACAUGUUACAGUUAUACAUGCAUGACAUAUCAAAUAGCAAACAUAUGCAAGGAAUUUUCUGAAUUACUCAUAGCCUAUCACAGAAUCAGAUAAAAUAAAAUAAAAUAAAAUCCCUUAACAAAUACUAUCCCACAACCUGAUAACUACCCAGUAUUUUAUUUUCAAUCCAACUCCACCCUAUACGCUCUUGAUAGAAAAUUGCAAAAAAAAACCCUUUUUUUUUCACACAUAGAUUUAAACCUAAAACCCUUAACACAUAAACAAGGCGCCCAACCACUAAAACAAAUACUAAUUAAUGACAAAAUUUAAAAAUUCAUGUAUACCAAAUUUUAGGGCAUUACAAUUUACAUAUAGCUUUUAACAUAUAAACAAACCAACCACACCAUAUAUUCAUACAACUAUUUACAAAAGAAACCAAAACACACAAAAGCAUAAAUGACAUUACACCCUAUACAUGCCAUUUAUAACCAUAGUUCAAAAUAACCAAAAACUACCAAACUGAUUGUGGGUUAGUGUGAUAGGUCUUCGGCAAAGUUCCAAGUGAUCAAACUUUCGAUGAUCUACAAAACAAAGAAAGCAACUACGUAAGCAACAAAUGCUUAGUAAGUUCGUAAAAGGUAAACUUUAACUUACCAAACAUCAUUUAACAAUCCAUUCAACUAAUCUCAUUGCAUCAUUUUACAUUAUAAUUUCAUAUGCACCAUAAAUCACAUGGUUAGUAAAUAUCAUGAAAACAUAACAUAUAUGCAUCAUCUCACAUACUAGUACGUGAAUUCCAUACCUUACUUUUUCAUCACAUAAAAAUUUUCCAUUUCCUAAAUUCAUAUAUAUCAUACCUUUUCAAUUAAACAUUAACAAUAAUAGGUGUGUUUGCAUGCUUUUCCUUCGUCCUUUACUUACCCGUUGAACCAUCUAGAAUUUAAUUGGAUACUCGAAAAUGCUCACACAUAGUGUGUCUUUUCAUGUAAUCAUAACAUUUCCUUUUCAAUAAUGCUCACACGAGUUGCAGAGAAUCCGCAACAAAUGUAGGACCUCAGCCAUUGGUAGGACAUUCAAGAUCAGCACCCGAAACCAUAUAACCCUAAUGACAUGUCAUUUGUAUCCUAAGAAUUCUUAAGGUUCAAACGGGAUUAAUUAACCGUCAACAUUCCGAAGUAUUAUCAUAUCAUCGAGUAAAAUUAAACCUAAUAUAUUAAAAUGAAUAAAAUCAAUUCAAUUAAUCAUUAAUAUAAUUAUAACUCAUACGAACUUACCUAGACCACCACAGUUGUUUAAGCUAGAUUGAAACUAACUCAAGAUUUUUGCUUUUCCUUGAGUCAAGUCCGAUUAAUUCUUUUCUUGAUCUAAAUAAUAAUUUAAUUCAAUUAAGUACUUCAAAUAAUCUCAGUUAUUCAAUUCAAGUCUAUAAUCCAUAUUAAUAAGAAAUUUUGAAUUUACCCCUACACUUUUAACCUGUUCAGAUUUUAACCCUUAAGCCCAUAACAAGAAAAUUCACCAUUUUUUUUCUACUCACAACAUGUUAGCCAAUUCUCCCUUAUACUCAUAUCAACCCACAUUUUCCAUAUUUCACAAAAUAUACAUGGAAUUUACCAUUCUAACAAAUAAAUCCCAAAACCUUAAAUUCACUAAAAAUCUUAUAACCAAACAUGUUCAUUUAACUAUCUACUAAUUAACUUGACAAACACAUCAAAUGCAUCCAUGGCAAGUCUCUCAACCAUUAAAAACUUAACAAAAUAACCGCCAGGCUAACUAAAUUAAGCUAAAACGACCUCGAAAAUAUAAAUAUAACUAAAACAUGGCUUGAAUACAUAUCACGCAAAUUGAUUUAAGCUUGCCAAAACCUAAAGCUAAACAAUCGUGUUUUUUGGUUGUUAAAUUUGGUGGAGAAGAAAAAAAUUAUAAAUAUGACAUUGGUUUGUUUUAUUUAGAUUAAAAUUUAUUUAUUUACUAUUUUACCCUUAGUUUAAUAACUUACAAAAUGACAAAAAUUAAACUCAUAAUGCUCUAUUAACUUUUCAUAUGGUAUAAAUAUCAUAUAAGUCCAUUAACUUUCCUUUCCAUAGCCAUAUAACUUAUUUAACUAAUAAAAUCUCACUUUCACAGCAUUUACAAUUUAGUCCUUUUGAAUUAUUUAACCAUUUAAACUUCAAAAUUUCUUAACAAAAAUUUAAUACAACUUUAAAAUAAUACCAUAAAAAUUAAAUAAACAUUAAAAUAUUAACUCACUCGUCAGAGUCGUGGUCUGAAAACCACUUUUCCUGACUCUACUGAAAUCGGGUUAUUACAUAGAGUUUCUUAGCGGAUUAGCUAUUUGGAAAAGGAAGAACGUGAAAUAAACUCUAGGCAUGACAACCCUAGGAAGUCAUUUAGGUAGGAAUUAACCAAAAAUUGGUUUGACCUAUCCGUGAACACCUUAACCUCGAAUCGGUUUGGACUGUGAGGUCAAAAGAUAAGUAGUUAUUUCUGACUCAUUGUUCUAGUGGAAGAUCAAAAGAACCUACUAGGGUAUCAACUAGUUGAUUGAUUAGAAUUCUACCUCAAUAAUUAAUUAGGUAGAAACAAUUGGAUCUACGCUAAAAGGAACUCGCGUAGUCAAAACAAGGAAUAAGAAAAGUCGAUACAAGAACCUAGGAGUAGAUUUAGGUUUAAUUAAAUUUAUUUAGUUUCUUAUUAUUAUUAUCAUCUUUCUUAUUGAUUAACACUAAUAAUUCGUGACUCGAGUAGAUUAGUAAUUAUUUCCUAUAAUUGGCUUGAAAAUAGUUUUCCCCAUACUACAAUCCCUUGGGUACGAUCCUCGGAAUACUUACUAAGUGUUUCAUUGUAAACAAACUAUAUUAAAACAUGAGUCGUAUACUUGUGGACAUGCCUCGAAUCUAUAUCUUUAGUUCAAGUAUUCACACCCUGGAUGUUGGUACGUCUGGAAGCGGUCGGUGUCACAGGCUGUGUGCUUCAUAAAUUGCCCCCAAAACAAGACAUUUCAAACUCAUUUCUUGCUCACAAAGACACACCAUUUCCACAAACAUUCAUAGAACCAAAACACAUUUUAAACAUGCUUAAAACAUACCAAUUCCAUCAACCUAUAAGACUAACCAAUAUACCAACAAAAGGUACCACAAUCACAAACUAAAUAUAAUCUCAUUCAACAUUACAAGUUCAUUUCAAUAAACUUAGAUCAAACAUACCAACAACCUUUUUAAUAGCAUACCAUUCAACCAUGACUUACCUAAUAUAAGAUGGAAUAUGCACAAGAGCAACUUCACCUAUUUACAUCAUCAUUUAUACUACAACACCAACUAAACUCUUGAUCAUAGUAAACUUAUCAUAAUCUCAAGACAUCAAAGGAACCAAGAUUACAUUUAAGUUCUAAACGUGGCAAAACGCAUAUAUCAUUCAAUCUAAAUGCCUAUCCAAUAUACCCUCAUUGGUACCACAAAUAAACAUAAAAAACAAUUUAAACUAUUACUAGAAGACUAAUAUUAAACAUGCAUCUCACAUACUAUUUGACCACUUUUUCACAUCUCAAUGCUAUCAAAAGUCACCUACUUCAAUAGACAUUCACAAAUAACAAAAUCACAUAUUUUCAUAUACAUUAAUAAGCCAAAAUCAAAACAUAUGAACAAGAACUCUCAAAUCAUAUCAUAUUGGCCAAAUAACAUAAUACACCUAUUACAUGCCAUUUAUAACCAUCAACAUAAUAACCAAAGUCUACCAAAAUGAUGAUUCAAUAGAGUGAUUGUGCUCCGAAGUGAUUCGAACCGAUUGAGUUUUUUGAUGAUCUACAAAAUAGAGAAAAAUAACUACAUAAGUAACUAAUGCUGAGUAAGCUCGUAUAAAAGGAACUUAAACUUGCCGAACAUGAAAUGAUUAAACCAUUCAAUCAUUGAUCAAAUCAUAUGGAUACUGUUCUUUCCUAUUCACAACAUUCCACAUGGUUAGUAGAUAUACUUAAAAAUAUAUCAACCUAUGAAACAUGGUACAUUCAUGAAAUGAAUUUCAAUAUAAAACUAUUCAUCACAUGUUCAAUUAGUUCCCUUUUCAAUCCAUACUUUUCCUUUUCACAUGUUCAUUAACAUGUACCAAUGCAUAUAUACACAUUUCCAUUUUAUGCCUUAAUUUCCAUUCAAUUACAUAUAUUACAUUUCCAUUCCAUAUUCUCAAUGACAUAGCUCAUUCCAUAAAUACACCUUUUUGUUUUAAACUUUAAUUACCCGUUGAACCAAAUAGAAUAACAUAAGAUACUCAGGAAAUGCUCACACAAACUAUGCCUUUACAUGUAACUAUAAUCGUCUCUAUAAUGCUCACACGAGUUAUGAAAUGAGCUUGCUCACACUAGCUGUGGGUCGGGAUGUUAGCUACACGAUGCUACUCAUAAGAGCUAUGGAGAAUCCCCAACAAAUGCAGGACCUCAGCCAUCGGUAAGACAUCCAGGACCAACACCCAAAAUCGUAUAGUCCCUAAUGACAUGUCAUUUGUAUCUUAAGAAUUCUUAAGGUUCAAACGAGACACUUUUAUAUAUCAGUCCUUUAACUUCUUCCAUUUCUAUCAUUUCAACUAUGUACAUCUAUACAACUCACGUUUUUCACAAAUAUCCAUCAAUUGUAUAAACAUUACAAAUCAACCCAAAUCACUAAUUAACAUGGGUAAAUUUAAUAAUAAUUAAACAAAGUAUAACAUUAACUAAUCAUUCAUUUAAAUUAGAAAUUAACUAUUUUACCAUUAUACGAACUUACCUCGAUUGAAACAGUUACUAAAAUGGAGUGGACAACUAGUCCAAAACUUUAGCUUUAUGCAACCCAAUUAAGAAAUUUUCAAUAUUCUAACAAGUAGUUUUAUGCAAUUAAACCCUUUCAUUAUUAAUGUACAAAUUUACCCCUAAUAUUUUAUCUUUUCUACAGUUUAGUCCAUAAAUUCGAAACUUGCAAAUUAGCCACUUUUAAUUAAAAUUCAUGCUAGUCGAUUUUCCCUUAGUCUUAUAACAACCCAUAUUUUUCCUCAUUCCACACAAUUUAUAUUAAAUUUUACCAUUUCAAUAAUUUAAUCCCUAAACAUUAAAAUUAUCAAAAAUCAUUUAACAAAAUACUUAAAUUUAACUACCAACUUUAAUAAUCUAUCAAUUGAAAUAAAAAACACCUCAAACUCAUUCAUGGAAAGUCCCUAGACUUUUAACAUUUUACAAAUUGACCAUUGGGUUAGCUAGAUUAAGCUAAAAUGAUCACAAAAAACAUAAAAAUCAUAAAAAAAUGGGAUAAAAAACAUACCAUGCACCAAAGACAAGCUUGGUUGAAUGUUUCUUCACUUAACAAUGGUGGUUUCGACAAACAAAAGGAAAAAAUAAAGAUGAUGAUAGCUAAUUCCUUAUUUUUUUAUGUUAUUAAUUAUUAAAUUACCUUUUUAACCUUAAUAAUUUAAUGAAUAAAAACCAAUUCUUUGUCCAUAAAUGUCCACUACACAUUUAUAUAGUUUAAUUACCAUCUAAGCCUAUAACUUUAUCUUCAUUAACCAUCUAACUCAUUUAACUAAUAGAAACUCACUUUUGCAUCCUUUACAAUUUAGUCCUUUUUAAUUAAUUAACUAUUCAAACAUUAAAAGUUCUUAACCAAAUUUUAAUAUGGCCCUAGUAGCAAAUAUUUAACAAAAUAUUUAUGGGCUCGGUUUAUAGACACGAGAUCAUGGUACCUCUUUUUCUAAAACCACUUGACUUCAAGGAUUAACCACUUGAACUUGACUAUAUGACCAACCAACAAAAAUUAUUAAAUCAAAAUUUUAUUAAUAGUAUACUUGACUCAUAAAUAUUAACUACUAUUUCAUUAAUAGUAUACUCUCUCGUUAGAUUUGUGGUCCUGAAACUACUAUUUCUGACACAACUGAAAACGUGUUGUUACACGAUUUAUCAAAGUAUACAUAUCAAAACUAAAAAAAUUGGAAGAUAUUACUGAGAUUAAGCAAAGAACAGCGAAGGAAGUUUUGGAAACACCCGAGGGGGAGAUAGUUAAAGUUAAUUUUGAUACAUCUUAUCAACAACGUUUGAGCAAAGCCAUAUUCGGGGUUAUAAUCUGAAAUAAAGAUGGGUUUGUAAUGGGAUUUUGCACUUACCCAUGGGAGAAUGUUUGAAAUCCAACCACUGCAGAAGCAUAGGCGUGCCAAUAGGUAGUCAAUUUCACAGAAGAAAUGGGCUUUAGAAAGAUGAGUGUAAAAGGGGACGCUCUAACAAUGAUAAAAAGGAUAAAAUUUACAGAGAAUGAUAGAUCAAUAAUAGGAAACAUUCCCAAAGAAAUUAACAAUAGAUCACGCAGGUUUAGAUACUUAUCUUUUAGGCAUGUGUCCGGGACGGCGAAUGAGGUGGUGCAUGCGCUGGCAACACGAGGACAUGGGUUUGAAACUUCAAUGUACUGGGUGGAAGAAAUCCUAUCAAAAGUGGAACACUUCGUUAAAAAAGAUAGAAAGGGCUCCCAAAGGGUAUAAAUGAAAUGGGAUUUUUUCUCUAAGUCUGGAGGAUAGUAAAGGAUAGUCUUCGAAGAAGUUAGUGGUGUAAUGGACUGGAAAAAGCAAGAAACUUCAAAUGUAGAAAUUUUAGAGGAGAACCAGUCCAUCAGGAGACUCUCUUUGAUGCAAGUUGGGGCUUUUUUUUUCUAAGAGAAGAUAGAAAGAUUCUUAGGUUUUGUAAAGUUUCUAUUUUUCUAUCAAUUGUUUUUUUUUCUAUUUCUCUUUUUCUGCUUUAGGUUUAGGUUCACCGAGUGGUUUUCAUAUGCAUAUAUUUAGUAAUAAAUGCUCUUCUACAUUUUGUGUGACCUUAGGCAUCUCCCGUUUUAGCCACUAGUGUUGGAAUGCUUGUAAUGGUGCUAACAAGGCAUAUCUUUGUAAACUAAAAUCUUCUUUUAUUUAAUCCAUCGGUUGAUAGAAUUUUCAAAAAAAACCAAUGACUAAUAAAAAAAAUCAUUAAAUAUUAAAUCUUUUAGAAUCGAAAUAUAUACACAUGUUAGUGUCAAAUGACGGUGUAUAAACUAGGCAUAAUUGCAAAAAAAAUCCCUCAACCUUUGGGGGCUUUUGGAUAUAUGCCCCUAACCUUUUUAUUUUCUGAAAUCAACCCUCAACGUGACGGAUUUUUCAGACAUCAACCCAGUUGAAAAGGUAACCGUUAGCUGAUAGUCAGUCAAAAAAAUUGGUCUAUGUGGCGUUCUAGUUGACAGAUGAUGUCGUAGACCUUAAAAUAAUAAUGCUAACAUGUCAACAAAAUUCAAAAAAAUUAAUAAACAUAAAAUAAAAGAACCCUAAAUCCCCAAAACAUCUCAAACCCCUAAAUUCAAAACUUUUUUCCCAAAUUUUAAAAUCCCCAAAAUUGUGAAAUUCCUUAAAUCUAUAACAUCCAAAAUCUUUAUUGAAUCCCUAAAAUAUUCAGCAAUCUCCUUUUUUGAAUCAUUGAUUUAGGGAUUUUUCUACAUCCUUAAUCCCUUAGAACCAAAUCGUGAAAUCCCUAAUCUUUCCAGAAAAUUUUAUUUUUCUUCCUUGUCGUCUGAAAUCAUGGAUUCACAUAGUUCGAAUAGUCAGUCUAGAGGUCGAGUAAUGCAUGGUUCGAAGAAAAAAUCAUCAUACUUAAAUAUUGUUACUUCAUCACGGAAAGAGUAUGUCUACGAUGGACUAGCAGUAAAAUGUCGCUGCAAUAUGUUAGCUCUAAGAGACACUUCAUGGAGUGAUUUAAAUCUGGGGAAGAGAUUUUAUGGUUGUUCAGAUUUUUGGGUAAGUGAAGUUUUUUAUUUGCAAAUUGAGCUUUAGCUCAACUUUGAUGAUUUCAUAAAUCUCACUAUUUGUUUUGUUUUCAUUUUGGAUUAUUUCAAUUUGGCUGAAUUGAGGUUUGUUUGUAGGAUGGAGGUUUCGAUUUCUUCAAGUGGUACGAUGGGAAAAUGUGUGACCGUGCGACUGAUUUAUUGCGUCAAUUGUGUGAUAGUGAACGAAAUCUUUUGAAGGAUAAUUUAGCACUUAGAAAGAAUAUUAUGGAUUUGGUUGCAUUUGAUGGUAACCAUAAUGGUUGUAGUAGUACUGUUGACAUUGAGGUUGAAGGAGGUAGAUCAAUUUUUGGUGUUGAAGAAGUAGCAUUAAAUAAGAAAAUGUUGACCAUGAAGCAAAAAAUUAAAGUUAUCAAGAAAGAGAAGUCAAUGUAUAAGAUAUUAUUUUCUUGCUCUAUGUUAUGUAUUGUAUGCAUCACCAUAGGUUUCUUUUCUGGCAGUAGUGGUAAGAGGCAUAUGCUAGCAGUUGCAAAUGUUGAUUGACCAAUAUUGGUUGUUUUUUAUGUAAUUUAACAGUCUGCUUGGAAGUAAUGACUAAUAUUUGUUGUUUAUGCCUAAUUUAAUUUAGCUUAGUAAAUAAUGCAGUGACAAUAAACAUAAACUGAAAGGAAAAAUUUGAUCAUUUAAGCAUAUGAUUUCCCCAUUGUAAUUUGGAUAAAUGUACUUUACAAAAGCAUAUGAUUAGUCUCUACACCAUUCACCUUAUACACUAUCCACGCUAUACCAGCCAAAAACCAGAAUGUGAGUGAGCUAUACAUGAAGCAAAAAAAAAACCAACAUAUUGGUUUUCAUUACAACAAAAUAACAUUCAACAAUGAUGUAUUUCAAAACCAGAAUGUUGUAGGCUCAAAAUGUGACUAUCAUCUUCUGUUCCAAAACCAAAAUGUUGUAGGCUCAAAAUGUUGUAGGCAAACUAUCUUACACUGUCCUUUUUAGAUCACGAGCUGUAAUGAGAUGGUCCUACAAAACAAAAAAAAACAUAUACAAAUAGAUAAAUGUAAUUAUGGCACCCUGGAUAAAAUGAUUUGCUUGAUAAAAGAACUUCACAGAUAGAAAACUGUUGCAAUAAGAGACUUGUGUUGUUAUGGACCUAUUUGUAGAAGGUUAUAUCCACAAUCAUGAAGUAAAUUAUGGCAUGAUUUGACAUACAACAUAAAGAAAACGAUAGCAUCCCUAGUUCCAGAGAAAGCACAACAUAUAUAUAUAAUGAAGCUGCAUUUUUUCCAUGUAAGAUUGCACAAGUUCAAAAGCAAGUUAUUAUUGUGAAUCACAAGAUAAACAGUAGAAGCCAUUCAAAACAAAAUAAUGAUGACUUAUUCAUGUUUCUUGUGACUGAUUCUUGUGUCCCUAGAUGGUCAAAAUGAGCCUUUCACUUGUUAUUUCGCGACUUGGGUGUUGUAGAAGUUUGUUCACUACCAUCUUGGCAUGAAGCUAUCGUCAUGCUUCUUGUGGUUCUACUAGACUACAAGAGUAUUUUAUAUUAAUAUUAACACUAUAUACAAUGUUUGAUCAAUAGUAAAAAGAAGAAACUCACAUAAAAUAUUCGUUUCCCAUUAGAUUUAUCUAAGGUAGUCGACUUUUUAAUGAAAUAUUUCCCUUUUUGUUUGGGUGGUUGUGUAUCUUGCUGCAAAAAAUGGACCAUAAUCAUUGGUUAGACAAAAUAAAAAAAAAAUACUCAAUAUAUAUAACUGAAAAACAACACUGUACCUGCUUCGAAUUUGUGCAAAACUGCGUGUUAUGGCCAUAUUGGCCACAUUGAGUACAUUUCAUGAGUAGACCUUUCCUACUCAAGUGACCAGGCUUCAAUUUUUUUGGUUCAUCUUUGGCCAUCCUCCUAUUCUUUGUGGGACUCUCAGUUAUCUUCUUUUUCAAUAAAAGGUAGCACUAGCUCAAUACCAAUUUUUUCCCAAUCAUGUGGCCUACUAAUGGGCUGCAUUGGAAAAGAGUAAGCUUUCUUGUAGGUAUCAAUAUGAUAAUAUUCAUACAGAUAUUCAUCUGGUUGAAGCCUUAAGUGAUACAUUGCAACACAUGCAUGGGAACAUGGAAUCCCACUAAUUUGCCAACAUCUACAACUACAUAUCCUUUGACUUAGGUCCAAUGUAUAUUGAUAACUUCCUUUCCUCAACACACAUCCAUGUUUACAAUUCCAUAUCAGUUGCCACUCUACACUAUCCUUCUUUUAAGCAUCAAACUUAGCUUUCACCAAUGGACCGUAAUUUUGCUUCAAUCCAUUACAUAACUUCCUUUUUUGUACUAUCCUAGUCAUCAUCUUGGUCUUAAUAUCCUCAAGCAUUCAGAUAAUGCUUUUGAAUUUAGCUUCAACAAUGCUUGAAUUGAAUACUUCACACAAAUUGUUGCCAACUAUAUCUAAUUUAUAAUUAGUCCCAAAAAAUGCCCUAGUCCACAUCUUUAGAGACUUUUUCAUCAAGUUAUCGUAAGCAUCUUUAUCUUUUUUCUCCAGUGCUGAACAUAGAUCCUCCAACUCCCUCUCAGUCGUGCACUUCACAAUUUGCUAGAAAUCACACUCAUAAGAUUUCCCUAACUUCCUCCCUGACCAAUUUGCAAACACAUGCUUCACAUAAUUCCUAUGCUCCACCAUUGGUAGUAUGUCAGAAAUUGCAAUCUCAAGGUCCUAAUUCAAAAUAAUGAACAAGAUAGAUUGUUAGAAGAUUUUAGUUAAAUACAAGCAACGGAUUAAAAAACAAUACCAAGCUUAAAUUUGCAUAUUUACUAACCUUUUGUUGGUCAUUGAUAAUUGCGUACCCAUGCCUAUCUUCCAAGCCCAAAUUAGUUGAUAAGAGACUGAGAAACCAAGUCCAUGAAUCAGUGCCCUCCACUUCAACCACAACCUAUGCAAUAGGGAACAUUUGGUUGUUUGCAUCCUUUCCAAUAGUUGCGAGAAAUUCACUCUUAAGUGGGCCUUUCAAGAAGCAACCAUCUAGCCCAAUGAGUAGCCUACACCCCACUUUCCAGCCUCUCCUUAGUGCAUCAAAACACACAUAAUACCUCUUAAAAUGAGGGAGUCUGCUGUCACCCUUUGAACGACCAUUUUUAUUGAGCUUUCUGGCGUCUUUGGCCCUAACUCAUGAGCAUAAUCCUAUAGCAAGCCAAAUUCCUCCUUAUGAUUCCCAACCAUUUUCCCCUUCACUAUUUUCUUCUCCUUAUAACAACAAUCAAUGGUCACAUUUACAUGUAUCUUAGAAGCACAUCUUCUUUGAAUUUCACUUAGCUUCAUUUUAGGGUGGUCCUUGAUAAUUGCUUCAAAAUGUUGGGCAAUCAUAGUAGCAGUCACCAUUUUGUUCUUAAAACUAACCAAACAAUGGUGCUCAUCCUGAAACAUCUUUACUUGCAAGCAUUUCGCAACAGGACUGUAGCUAGCCCUAAUUCUCCAUGGAUAGUUAGGGGAAGCAAUGCACCUCACAAUAACCCUUUUCUGGUUUAUUCUUAAUAAACUUCAGUUGUCGUCUACAUUCUUUGGAGUACUUUCGAAUUACGCUCUUAAACUGUUUUGCUAUCCUUAAACAACAUUCUCAAACUAAAUUUUAACUUAACAUUGUAUAAGGGAAACUUGCUCAUUUCUCUCACUAUCUUUAUGUUCUUCAUCUUCAUCAGACCCAACCAAGCUUCCAUGUUCGUCUGAGUCUCAUACCUCAGUCUCAUUCCCAUCCUCCACUUCUCUACUAACUGCAAUAGCAAUAUUAUCCACUCCAUUUGAUGUUGCAAAAUCACUAGCAUAUUCAUCAACAGUAACUUCACUAUCAUUAUCCUCUCCAACAGUGGACCCUAAACUAAUUUGUCCAUCACUUUCCAUACCAACAUACUUAUCUACCUCAAUACUAGUAGCAGAGACACCCUCCCAAUCAGCUGGUACCCCUCUUACAUCUCCCUCACCCUCCCCACCAGAUUCUAGCCUUUCCAUAUCACCUUCACCAUCAGAUUCUACACCUUAAUCAUCACCCUCCCCAACAGUCAAUAGAUAAAUUUUGUCUAUAAUUAUAAGGUUAUCAACCUCAUCUUCAACAUAUAAAUCCAUCUCCUUAAACUUGACCCAAAAGUCUAACAUAGCUAUGGUCGAAAUGUCGUCACCAAUCACCCUUAGAUUAUUUUGUAACCUUAUUGUACCAAGCUCAUGAAAAUAUAUUAACAUGACAGUGUUAAACCCUAACCCAAUUUUCACUAGUUUACAUAAUUCAAAAUAAGAUAUUGUGUCUAGGUCCUCUUUAAGCCUAAUCACUUCUUCACCUGCAUAUCUAACAUAUGGGUCCUUUACAAAGUGCCCACCCACGUGCAAAAUAAUAUAAUAUUCCUCAUCUGAUGACAUCUUCAAAGCAUAAACAAACAAUUUUCUCAGCAAAACACAUUAAAGAAAAAAAAACAAAACUCACUACCUACAUCGGGACCACUUCUUUGAAUACAAUACAAAGCAGUAAAACAUGUUUACAAUUUUAACAUCUUUUUUCUUGGGUAACAGAAAUCAAUAACAUCGGGACCACUGUCACAUCAUAAAACGACAAAACAAACCCUACAUUGUGGCACUGAAAUUACAAUAAUAAAUCAUAAAUAACCAUCUACAAUUUUAACAACAACUUUAUCAACAAAAUCAGGACCACUGUCGCAUCACAAAUCGACAAAACAAACCUUACAUUGUGGCACUGAAAUUGCAAUGAUAAAUCACAAAUAACCAACAAAUCAAACCAAAAAUGGAAUUUAUUUUCCCAACAAACCAAAUAAGAAAGCACCUAUCUUUCUUUUUUGGAUUACAAAAACUGCUCAUGAUUGUUGAAGCUUUUUCGCUAUUAAAAUUUUAGGGAUUCAAUGAUUUGAUUAGUACAAUUUUUAGGGAUUAUAAAAAUAUUUUGGAACGCUAACGAUUUAAGAAUUUCAAUAUUUAGGGAUUUAAAGAUUUUAAAGAUUCAACGAAGAUUUUAGAUGUUAUGAAUUUGGGGAAUUUCACGAUUUGGGGAUUUUAAAAUUUGGAAAACAAGUUUCGAAUUUAAGGGUCUGAGAUGAUUUGGGGAUUUAGGGUUUUUUGUUUUAUUUUUAUUAAAUUUGUUUUUUUGCCACGUCGGCAUUAUUAUUUUAAUGUUUGCCACAACGUCAAUCAACUGGAAUGUCACAUAGACCAAUUUUUUUGACCGGCUGUUGACUAACGGUCAGUUGACGGUUACUGUUUCAACUAGGUUGAUGUCUAAAAAAUCUGUUAUUUUGAGUGUCGAUUUUAAAAAAUAAAAAGGUUAGGUGCAUAUAUUCAAAAGCCUCCAAAGGUUGAGGGCUUUUUUUUCCAAUUAUGCAUAUAAACUAUGACACAUUAGAUUAUUUACUAAAUUAUAACUUCAUAUUAUUAUAGUGUAUAUAACUUUGAUUGUUUAAUAAAUUUUCUUUUUCAUUUUAAAAUUUAAACGUAUGGUAAUAUAACUUUGUUGGAUCCUUCUGCAAUUGUUACUAGAGAUCGUCAUUUUACCUUCCAACAUUAUUUCUACAUGAUAAUCAAAAUUUAAAAAGUUUUCACAAACAAAAUAUCUAGAUUUCCCUUAUUCCAUUUCUAAUGCAGAUAAUUCAACACUCACAACCACCAUUGUUCUAUUCAAUCCCACUACCCAAUGACCAAUAAAACUCACUGGCUACCAUACCUUCACCAUACGGAAAGCCCAAAUAGAGAUGUUGAUACAUGGCCAUAAGUUGUUUGGCAAUCCUAAUGGAAUUGUAAUUGUCUCACCAAAGACACUCACCAAUGAAAAUCAAACCACCCCAAACUCAAACUACUAAACCUAAUUUUGCUAAAAUAAACUGAUUCAAAAUGUUAUUUUAGCUUCUGUUGAUCCUACCUUUCCAUAUACCAUAACAAUCGCAUCUACUAAUCAUAAAGCAUGGCAAUCAAUGAUACAACCUUUGCUAAAAUAUCUCAAACUAGCCUUCAAAACAUACUAACACACAUCAUCAAAGAUGCUCGCUCUAUCAAUCAUUAUUACCUUUGUGAAAUCCACUUUAUUGUUGAUAAGCUUGUCACUACUGAUGAACCCAUCACCAAUUUUGCAUCAUUGUUCAAAUCCUACAAGGUCUUGGUCACAAAUACAAACACAUCUCUAUAGUCAUUCAAUCUUGUUACACAUACAUCAGGUAUGAAGAGCUUUACAACAAGCACCUCAACCAUGAAAUCUUUUUUAUAAUAGCUCAAUUUUUAGUGGUACUAAAUAAUGCAGUUUCAGAACCCCAUUUCCAUAAAUCAAGUCCAUAAAUAUUACAUAUGAAUAUUUAUGGGGUUAACAUAAAAGUGUAUUGAUGUUUGGCCCAUCAAAUUUGUCAAUUAAAUAGUUAAUUUAGGUAUAAGACUAAAUUGUAAAAGUCUAAUCGCUAUAGGUUUUUAAUUGACCAAAGGCUUAGGGACUUAAAUUGCAAUUAUCUAAAGGGCCAAAAUGGUUAAUAAACCAUAUUUAAUCUGCGCUAGUGGAUGAAAAUGAUGUGUAUGGGUUACCUUAAGCAAUUAAAGGUUUAUUUGAUUAAAACAUAGUUAAUUAAGGUUAAUUAACAAGUUAAUCCAAGUAUAAAAAUAAAAGUUAGUGGAGAGAAUAGUAUUAUCUCCUUCAUUUUGAUUUUUUACAGUUUAAAAAGAAAAAGAAAACCUAAGAGGGUAAGCCAUUUUCAUGUUAUUACAUUCGACCAACAAUUAGGUAUGCAAUUUAAGCCAUUUCUUAUUUUUUUUUAUAAAUUUGAAGUAAUAAGAGCUUGGUUUAGCUAGCUCACGUACCAAUUUAUGAAAAUUUUAAAGUUUUAGGAAGUUGUCAUUGUUGAGAAUUAGAUGAAAUUGGUGUGAAAUUGUUAGAAAUUAAGCUUAGUUUAAGGAAAGGACUAAAUUGUAAAGCUUAAUGGUUAGUUACGUACAUGAGGGAUCAAAUUGAAUAAAAUUCAAAACUAUUAUAAAAUUUCGAUAAGAAUAGGAAGUAGGGGGUCCUAAUGAAUAUAUGUGAAAUCAAAUUUUAAUCUAAAGCUAGAAAUCGAAUGUUAUGACUAUUCCAGUUCAAGGAAUAAAUUGAAUAAAUGUAAAAUCUUAGGAAUAUCAAAAAAUUAGUUCAUAUAGGUUCAUUCAUAUCAUGGCAUAAUAUGAAAAUAUUUGGUAUUGAUUGGUUGGAUUAAUAAUUGUAUAAAUCAAGAUUUGGAUCCAAGUGGAGCUAAUAGGAGGAAAGCUAAAGUUGCAAACUAGUCCCCAAAGUCUCCACUCUUUUCACAUUUUGAACAAGUAAGUUCAUAUAGAAUUUAUUAAUUUACUAAUUUAUGUGUUUGUGUGAUUUCGUGUUUGAUUUCCUAGUUAUAUGUAUGUAUGUAUGUAUGUAUGUAUGUAUGUAUGUAUGUAUGUAAGUAUGUAUGUAUGUAUGUAUGUAUGUAUGUAUGUAUAUAUGCAUGUAUGCAUGUAUGCAUGUAUGCAUGUAUGCAUGUAUGCAUGCAUGUAUGCAUGUAUGCAUGUAUGUAUGUAUGUGUGUAUGUGUGUAUGUGUGUAUGUAUGUGUGUAUGUAUGUGUGUCUGUCUGUAUGUAUGUAUGUAUGUAUGUAUGUAUGUAUGUAUGUAUGUAUGCAUGUGUGUGUGUGUGUGUGUGUGCGUGUGUGUGUGUGCGUGUGUGUGUGUGCGUGUGUGUGUAUGCAUGUGUGUGUCUGCGUGUGUGUGUCUGUGUAUGUAUGUGUGUAUGUAUGUAUGUAUGUAUGUAUGUAUGUAUGUAUAUGAUUUAAUUAUUUGCAAAUUGGUAUGAAAAGCUAGAAAUGGUUUGAAUAGAAUUAUUAUAUGAUAAUUGAUUAAUACAUAUCAUUACAGGAUUCAAAUGCAAAAUUUUGAUUUUAUUACAGGAAUUAUAUUGGAAUAUGUAAAAAUUGGUGCCCGUGUAAACUUAGUAAAGGUUAGAAUAAAAUUGACAAGCCAAUAGAGUAUUGUGCGCACUUGUACGAGAUUUAUUACAGAUGUUAACGUGAUCUAGCAUUUAUUGCAAAUUCUCGGGUAUUAUAUGACACAAGUUUAGCUCAGACAAGUAACCUAAUGUGUCGUGAUAUAGGUUUAGCCUGGACGGGUGACUUGAUAUAUAUAUACUCGGCUCGAAUGAGCAACUAGUGUGGUGUAGUUACUUGUGUAUCAGAGUCUGCUUACUAGGAUUCAUCGAGUGAAACGAUAUAAAUGAAAUUAGAAAUUGGAAAUGUGAUGAAAUGAAGUUGAUAUUAAAAUUGAAAAUGAUAUAUCUUUAUGAUUGUUAAUAGUAAAGGUGAUCAAUUCGAAUCAAUAUACUUGUUAAUAUCUUAUGAUUGUUGAUUGAAUGUACCAUUGCGAUAAGUUAUAUGAAAGUAACAUGAAUCGGUAUGUUAAGUUACUUGUAGUACUUAAUGAUCUUAGUUAUAAAUUAAUACUCAUCUUGUUGAUGUUUUGGGUGCCAUGUUCUAACCAAAGUUAUGCUAAAAGAAAGUAGAUUUAAAUGCUUGGGUAAAAAUAAGGUAAGCAUAGUAUUUUCUAUUUGAACUUACUAAGUAUUUCUUAAUGCUUAUUCAAGUUGUUUCCUUCCCUUGUAGAUAAUUACCUUGCAGAACUCGUCAAGUUGAAUCAUUGUGAAGCUUACACUAUCACUAAUUUGGUAGUAAUGUAUUUGUUUUGAUUAUCAAAGUUGUGGCAUGUAAAUAGGCAUAAAGUGUAUGGAACUAGUCAUUUUCUUGUUAGAAUGGUAUGCUUGAGCUUGUGGUAAAUGUUGAAUUGUAUGAGAAGCUAGGUGUUUGUACUAAGUGACAUAUGGAUUGACUUUGGUUAAUGUUUUUGAGCUAAAGAUGUUAAUUCCAUGCAUGAAAUGUAUAUAUAAUAGGAUUUGCAUAUAGAAGAAAAUGGUAAGUUGAGUUGAAAGUGGUUUAAAUAGGUAUAAGUUUAAAAUACAAAUGUUAUGUCAUUUGAAAGAUUAAAUUCUUAAAGUUUUAUGGAUUUGUUUUAGUUUGAUUAUGCAUGUUUUGGUACAGUUGAAAAUGUUAGGUGAAUAUGUAUAUCGGUAGGUUUUGGUCUAAGCAUGUAAAUAAGCACCAAAUGGUAUUUUUGGCCAAACGUCUCGACGACCAAUAUCUCAUGUCACAACGUUGGCCGAUAGUAAGUGAUGUCGCGACGUCAUUAUACAUGAAGUCGUGACGUGACAUACUAAGUUGGCAACGUCACGACUUGGAGAUUUUGAGGUCACUACAUCGAUCCUGAAUUUUUAAAACUUUAUAAUUUGGUCUUAAUUCGUGUACGGUUUUGCAAAAGAGCUUUCAUAAGCUAUGUGGAACCUGGAAAUGAUCGUAAUAUAUAUUUAGAAUGUGAAUGAUGUUUUUUUUGCAUAUGUGAUUGGUCGGAUGUUGUAAAAUUGUCCAAAGUUGCUCCAGCAUCAAUCGUAACAUCUUAUAGCUCGAAUCCGACGAUUGGGUCGGGCGACGGGUGUUACAAAUUUACCACAUAAAGACAAAAAAAAAAUUCUUAGCAAUAACCAUUACUGCAAAUAUUUCCCAAAACUCAUCCUUCAUUUCAUCACGCUCUAGCAAUAACACCAACAACUGUCGACAAAACUCCAAUAAGAAUCCUAACAAAUGCAAUCAACCUUGGCAUCCACGACGUAAUAAUAUACAACAACUUUCCCUAUGCACAAUAUACUACCAACUAUGUGAUCAACCUUCACACAUUUAUUGUUAGGUUUCUCAUAAUCACAUGCAAACAAUAUCCAAUUUUGCUGCUCACUUUUAAAAUUCUUGAGCACCUUAGAUAAUUGAUAUCGACGCAACUCACCACAUGACCUUUGAUGUUCAUAGUAUAACCUCUGCAUAUGACUACCAUGUUUCAAAACUAUCCAUAAACAUGUAUAAGGUCGGUAAUUUAUAUUUUCCCUAAUCAUCUUUCUUUUUUACGCUGUUAACGGUUGAGGUAAAUUGAUAAAAAAAAUUUGGAAACUUCAGGUACUAAACUGAUAUAAAAACUAAAAACUUCAGGUACUUAAAUUGAUAUAAGAAGUUCUCUAUGUACCAAUGUGAUAAUUCAGUGCAACUUUGGGGGCAAAUAGUACAUUAACUCUUAUUUUUACAAAGUAAGAAAUAGUAAGGUUUAAGGGUGUAAAAAGCCUUCAAAGCAUUUUUUUGCACUCGAUUAAGUACUUGAACUUUCAAAAGGCAUAAAAAAGGUCCUCAAACUUUUUCAAAAAAAGCAAUUAAGCCCUUGCUUUUUUUGCACUCAAUUGGGUGCUUAAACUUUCAAAAUGCAUAAAAACAUACCCUCAAACUUUUUCAAAAAUAACAAUUGAACCCUUUUUUGCAAUCAAUUGGGUACUUGAAUGUCAAAAUGCAUCAAAAAGACCUUUAGAUUGUUAACUUUAACAGUUGAUCGUUAAAGUUAACUGCCCCUAAUUUUUUCAAUUAAAGUCACCCCGUGUCACAACCAUGGAGUGACGUGUGGCAAGAAAAUUAUAAAAAAUAAAAAUCAAUAAAAAUUAUAAAAAUGGUUAAAUUUUAAUAAAAAAUAAAAAAAUAUUUAAAUUUUAUUAAAAAUUAGAAAAAAAAUAUUUUAAAAAUUAAAUACAUUAGUGAUCAAAUUGUAAUUUUUUAAGUAAUUGAUCAAAACAAAAAAGUACUCAUAAUUGAGUAAUUAAUGAAUAAUUUACCUUAAUAUAUUUUAUGUUGAAGAAGCAUUUGAGAAAAUAAGUAAAAUGGAGACUGUAAAAAGGAAAGAGAAAAAAAAAACAUUAUUAACGGCGUCGUUAAUUUGCUAUUAUAUAUACUGUUAAUGGUUUAGUAAUUUAAAUUUAACAAAUUGAUUUAGUAAAUGAUAUAUAAAUAAUUAAUUUUAUAGUUUUCCCGGAAAUUAAGUGUGGACAUAAAAGUGAAACUUUACAAUCGGGAUUGUAGCAAUUCUGCUAUAUGGAUUAUGCCCCAUAUCUAUCUGUUUAUUAAUUUUGGUUUUCUCAACUUGGAAGGUAAACUGAAGCAAACCAUGUGCAUGUGGAAGAGUGAUAGUUUAGUUGGAAGAUUUAUGGCCACUUGCAAGAGAAUGGAUAACAAAAUCAAAUUAUCCUACUCUUCUUAAUGGAACAAAGUAACAACAACUUCAUUAGCUCAACAACAAUCAGAUAUACAUUAGAAUCGAAACAAUGAAAAUAUCCACCAUUUGUCAUAAGUAAAAUCCCAACAACAACAGAAAAAUUCCUCCACCUUUUCUCUAUCUCUUUUCCAUCUUCAUAAUCAAAGUUGUAUGGCCUUUAGAGAGAAAGAAUAAAAGAAGACAAAAGAACUCUACACAAACCCCAAUAUUGAAAUAUCAACAACUAAUACAAUUCACCCAUUUUAAAAGAGGAGACCAAACGCAAGAGCGACAAGGGAAGCAAACGCCGUCGGCACGAAUGCGGUGGCAUCUGAGGUAGGAGUAGGGGCCGGUGCAUCAGCUGCCGCAACAUAUUGGACCGCCGACAUGGCCAUCAACACCACCAUCAUGGCCAAAAAUAGUCUCAUCCUCAAUGCCUCCAUUUGUUGGUGUAGUCUCUCCGUGAAUUUUGUUGCAAAAAGUGAGGAGUAUGAAAUUGAGACAAGCAGUAAUGGGUGGGGUGCCAU
Molecule: long non-coding RNA, 45401 nt
Filed under: Gossypium barbadense (sea-island cotton)
Lineage: Eukaryota; Viridiplantae; Streptophyta; Magnoliopsida; Malvales; Malvaceae
Description: long non-coding RNA (GBAR_LNC021034)
Source: RNAcentral